Molecule: long non-coding RNA, 47356 nt
Filed under: Musa acuminata (dwarf banana)
Lineage: Eukaryota; Viridiplantae; Streptophyta; Magnoliopsida; Zingiberales; Musaceae
Description: long non-coding RNA (MACU_LNC007968)
Source: RNAcentral
CCCGACCUCUCUUUCUUCCCUUGCGCUUUGCUCUAGCUUCGAUCCUCUACUCAUUAGUUGAGUUCCCGCCUCUACUUCUUCAAUUGAUGAUUCCGUCUUUCGCCCAUAGGGAGAAGAAUAAGCAUAUAGUAUAGUGGAUAGCACUGGAGUCACACCAAGUGGUAACUGAAUUGGUUUACCCGACAACAAGAUUAGAACUAUCACUAUUAGCCCGAGCCUUGUAAUAGAAUGAAGAGUUGCGGUCACCACCCAAACACAAGCACCGAACCAGUAUCUUAGAAACUAAAGCACCGAACCUGUAUCUUUAGCUAAGCAAGAAGGAGUUCAGUCUGCUCUUCCUCUGUAUACCUAUUACGACUCUGCAGGGGAAACUGUAACUCAUUAAGGAGCUGAGCUGCUAGAAGGAGAAGAGUAUUGGAUCGGAUGUUACUAAUUUCAUAGGCAUCGGAUGUUACUAAUUCCAAAGAAACACUAGCACCCGCUACUAAAGCUAGAGGGCCAAGCGUAUACUACUGGACUGGCCUGGUCGCUACUACCUACACGGGAUGAAACUCUCAACUCCUGCUCUGCUGACCACUUCUGUUCUCUACCUUUUUCCCUGAAUUCUUACUUGAAACUCAAACUCCCGGCUCAUCUCAUCUCUUUGAACUCUUGCUACAGCCAAGCCCCUACUAGACUUAACCGGGGUUAAACGAUAAUAAUUGCCUUUAUUUACAGCUUUCCCUUUUCGUGCUUGGAUUCACUUUUGAUAUGGUCCAGACUUAUAUACGCGUCUACUUCUUGUCCUAUCUUCUGAAGCGGUAAGAGAAUAAGUGUCAGAGUAUUAAGAAUCAGAGGGUAAAGCAGAAGCUGUGAAAAAGGAAGCAGCGAUAAGGGAUGCAGUGUAUUUACUUGGAUCUAUACCAUACUAUAAAGAUAGAUAUUCCUUUGUUGAAGUCGAGUAAUAUAGAGAAGUUAUUGUUUCACUUACAUUAGAUAGAAAGAGGUCACCCUGGGGAGUAUAGGUCGGUAAGGGGCCAAGCAACAGAGCCUCAUUCUUUGAAUAGUGGACAGAGGUCAGAGCCCUAACUGUAUUAGUAGCCAUUGCCAGAGGAGAGAGUUGACUGGUUGGUAUUGCACUAAAGAAUAGAGUGGACUUACCUAUCCUAUGGAAUUGCUAUCAGGCAAGUAACUACUAAUGACCAAGCCACUACUAAUGUGGCGACCAAGCUUAGGCGUAAGACGGGCAAGUAACUACUAACCAAGCAACUACUAUUGGACUGGAACGAACCCUACCAGCUAUCAGAUACCUCGACUCUGGACUAGAGCAUCUCAGCUAACGAAGAUAGAGAUUUGUAUUAGUAUCGGAGUGGCGGUCUUAGAACAAUCCACUUCUAUUCUAAUUACUUGGAGCAGGAGCCGAGCCAGUAGUUCCAGUUUCAAGUCAGAAUGAAGAGCCAGCUUCACAUAGAGAAUAAGCGAUACCAAUAUAAGAAUGAGCAAUAUAACUUGGAUAAUUAAUGACUACCGUGCUUUUCUAUCCUUCCUUUACAACAUUGUUUUAUUGCCUUUGCUACAUUGUUUUAUUGCUCCAAAUUCCAUAAAUGACUUAGUGACUUUUGGAUCGGAUGCCAUGCCGUACUAAAGGAAGCUGCGUAUCAACAAGCUUAGGAGCACAAAGGGUAUAUUGGGUGGUAGUUGGUAGGUGGUUAAGUGAUACUAAAACAUAGUCCAGCUUCAUUAAUCACCCCGGAGCAGUGGCUUGAUUACGAGAAGCAGUAGUCAUAUUCUUAUACUAGUAGUAGGUCCUAUAAGUACAAUUUCGAUUCUUUUUAUUGGUAGCUCUGUUCCCGGGUUCGAGUUACACUUUAGUUGGACCAAGUAUCAGUUUUGAAUCGAGGGAUGGUAGACUAAUAUAUGGAGGAGCGGACAAGCGAGACAUAGAAGAAGUUGGGCCUCGCGAUUAAGGUAAUAAGGCUUUUGUACUACUUAUUGGAUCGAGUUCUUCUACUAAGGAAUGAAAUACUGGAUGCGCCCUCUACUACUAUAGUCAGAAUAGGGAGUUGAGCGAAAGAAUGCAAGGUAGGGUAUUGGAAUGAGAAACAGUAGUUUGAGUUGGAGCAGGUAAAGUAAGCCCAGAAACCAAUAGUUACAGACCAAAAGCAAGGACAGUUAGAAUCGAAGUCAAGAGGUACCGGUGGACCAGCCAUUGAUUGUGACUUGAGAGUUUCAUUACUGGAAAGUAUGGCUCGUUCGUUAGGGAACCUUGCUGAGUACAGUAGCAGCAUCAAACAAAAUGGUAGUACAUUUCAUUACUUUGAGAAUCCUAAUCCUAAUCUCAUCCUUAUCGAUUUGCUAUCUUUCUCUAGUCUUAUUAGCCCCACUUAAUUAAGGUGAGCAGAAGAUGUUUCCUGAAAUUGGUAUUGAUCCUAACACUGGGUCGUACUAUUAGUAGUAUAGUAGUAGCAUGGAAUUGGUUCAUUUUCUCCAUGUUGAAGUAGUCGAAGCACAAACAGCAAACCUUCUUUCUAUUCUUUUAGCGAUCAAAGAAUAGCUCUCAUACUGGGAUUGGGAGUUCUCUUUCUCUCCUCUGCGUGUUACCUCUGAAAAGCCUCUUUUAAUGCUAUUUCAUGCGGGUUUUCUCUCUUCCUAGCGGGAUUUCCCAUCAACACCAAAUGAGUUAUGUUAUAGUGGAUUUUCUACCAAUAUCUUAUGGGUCAAGCAAGAAUGACAUAGGUAAUCCCAAGAGUGAACCCAAAGUAAUACAGGAUGCGCGGAACAGCUAGGAAUAAUGAUCUGAUCGAAGCUCGAAACACGGUUGAAGAAGCACACUCGAAAGUCGGAAUUCAUCUCAGUAGUAACAGGGCCAAGCAACGAGCACAAGAACUCAACUUACUGCUUCAAAGCCUCUAACUAAGGACUUAGUAGUAGCUUUGCCCGAGCCUUACUUACCCUAUUCUUAGUAACUAACUUCUACUAUCUUGUUCAAUUCAAGCUCCUAACUCAGGUGCCUCCGAUCCUAUAACUUCAUUCUGAAAACACAUAGAAAGUAGGCCUACUAACCAAGCUCUCUACACGGGGCCAAGCAGCGACGAGUUUCAUCCAUUAAGUCUACCUCCGCUACUGAUGCAACUGGACCACUUAGGGCUUUCAAAACCAAGUCCUGUGUUCAGCUGCUUCACGGAUUCAAGUCGAACAGUCCAUUCGAGAAGGCAAGGCCAAACAACUUUCUCUUAUAAGUGCCCGCGUGAUGCAUUUCAUCAAGGGCGUUCCCGCUAGGAGGUUUGUUACCAUCUUUGAGGCGAGUUACAUCUUCUAUCAAUUCAGAAAAACACAGCAUACUCUAAAGAAAAGAUAAGUCUGGUCGACUGGCUCAUCAGCUGUUCAAGGGAAUGGCUUUCUAGCUGCCCAUAUGCUUUUCUAAAGAUGCGAAGAGUUAUAUAAGAGGAGUUCUGGUCUGAAACUCUCUUACGCGCAACAAAUCAAAUCAUGGAAUUGAGAAUUGAUAAGUUCACACACAUUAUAUAGAUUGGAUUCACAAACCAUAGCAUAGCUUCUAACAAGCGGACUCGCUAAGGACAACGUCUAUUCCUAUCGGCCCUCGAAAGAUUGAAUGAAUUAUGUGAUUGCUUGAACACCAACUCUCUUGGACUUAUUGUAAUGGCGGGUAAUACGAGAUAUAUGAGUGGAAAAGCAAAAGCAAAGUGGAACUCGCUAACCUUAACUCAUUUCACAAGGGCAGUAAAGAAGGCCUCUUCUCUAUGACAAGGAGCUAGAGCAAGAACAAGAGCGGGUGAGGAAAGAAAAGAAAGAAAAGUGGAUCUCGUUGAGUAUAGAUGAAAUUAUUGGUAAUCAUAGUCUGAUCAAUCUUCCAUUCCUCCUGGUGCACCAUAAGAAUUAGGGUAGCCGAAAACAGGCCCAACGGAAUCAGCUGUGCAAUGAAAGUCUGGGUUCGGUGCUUGGCUUGAUUAACCUUAGUUGGCGGUACGAGAAGAGGUUAGCUUUGGGGAAUCCGCAAGGCCAGAUAUGCAGCAGUUUCCAGAUCUUCCGCUUGGAAAUUGCCUGUUAGAAAGUAAGCAGCAAAGGAAGCAGCAAGACUUAGAGCUUACGGAGUUAUCUUCGGCGCAAGAUAAUCAAUUAAUGUUUGACUUCAAGAUAGUUCUUAUGGAGAGAAAGAACACUCUGAAAUCUGAAUGAUUAAAUGCCGCAAGAUAGAUUGUUGAAUGAUUAGUUGACUGAAGCGUUAAGUCAUGCCCAACUGUGGUUGCCGAUAAAAGAAUAAAGAAUCAACGUCUGCCUCUGCAAGUCCUGUUUAGUUACUACGCGGGGAUGGGAUAGUUCGUUUUGAAGUGAAGAAGACCGGUCCAUUAUUCUUAUUCGAGGGUAGGCUUUCCUGCCCAAUUAUUCUUAUUCGAGGGUAGGCUUUCCUGCCCAUAGGUAUAACUACACGGCUUUAAUAAUAUAGAAGGUAGGCUUUCCUGCCCAUAGGUAUAACACCAUAACCUAUCAACUCUGUUCCCUUAGGCGCGGAAGCAUAAGAUCAUUGAACUCUCUGUUAGUGCAUCCCGAAUUCCACUACUUUGAGCGGCGAAAGCUGUUGCUGGUUCAGCUAAAGUAGUUUCAAGUUACCGUGUUUUUUUACAUCUAUACACGUGUUUCAAUUCACAAACAAAACGGGCCAGACAAGCUACUACCUCUCUUAUUUAUUACUGAAUUCUAUAGGGGCGCCCCCUUUCUUCUUAUUAUUAUAGAGAUUCUUAUCUGGUUGACUUCACUCGAACAGAAAAUCGAAAUACUAGACUUCAGGAUCAUGCUACAGGUAAGGUGCGCAAGAGGUUUACUACCACAACUCGGUUAAGGGAAAGAGGGCCUAAUUCUCGGCGCGGGAAACACAAUUUAUAGCUCAUUUUCCAUAAGCUCCGUAAGACAUAGGGUGCUCGAUACGAAAGAGGAAAUUCCAAUUAAUGAGUUCAAACAUUGGCCCCGAGAGAAAGAAGUGAUUGACUCUAAGUCUUGAGAGGAGUCCGCAGGUGCUAUAUAUACACAUUUGAGGAUUGCACAAACACCUUGAUUUUAGGAAUGCACAAACACCUUUGCUUGCCUUCCCUUAACGCACUGAGUCUUCUUCUUGCUAUUACAUUUCCAGUCUGACUGUAAUGUACACCCUCCCACUCCAUUCUUAAAGGAAGGACCACUAGUUCCAGUGGUCUUUUCUGAAUGGGGCACUUGGGUAGUUACUUUUCUCUCUAAUACCCUCUUUCUUGCUAAUACCCUAUGGCUCACUUUCAUUCUUAAUCCAUUAGGCGCGUACCCUAUUCUGAAUUCUGAAUUGAUAUCUACUUAUUGAUAGAUACUUAUUAAUUGAUAUCUAAUAUAUGUGCUAUAUGCGGUAUGAUAUCUAAUAUAUGUGCAAUAUGCGUACCCUGAGCCUAAUUCUGAUACAAGACCCCCAACUACUAAUAAUUAUAGAAUGCGCAACUCACAUAGGUAAAAGAAUGCAACUCACCGGACUAACGCCGAAAGCAUCUAUUGUAAUAACGGGAACUCUAGCGGCUCUGCCGCGCAACAUUAGUAGUUGCUUGGCGCGCCGUUGCUUGGCCCUUGGCCCAUAAUUCCGUAUUUCUCUAUAUAUAGGAAAAACCAUCUCACUUAAUAUAGGAGAAAGUUUCGAAAGAGAGAAACAACAUAGUUUGAAACAGAAUCAUGAGCUAGGUAUGAUAGAAAGAAGUAACCAACCGCCAAGCAACAACAGUAGAUGAGCCUAAGCCUAAUUCUUGUAUCAAACUAAAGAAGAAAACCGGGAAGGGACGGGAUGCCGACAUCAAUAAUAAUAGAUAAGGAUCAAAUUCAUUCUUUGUUUACUCCAUCUGCCCGUAUUGAGAGAAGCGGCAGGGACAGUUACAGUUCUCAACUCAGAAUGUAGCUAGUCAGUAACAGAGAUUUGGAGAGUUCUUUAUUCUCCUUAUAUAUGAAACCAGAUGAAACUCUUAAUUCCACUCCAGUGGUAGGAAAGGUCAGAAUGCAACCAGUCAAUCAAAGAAUGGAACAGCUAUGACCAGAAACCUGAUAUGAAACCUUAGACCUAUGACUUGAAACCUGAUUGAGUGUAAGUAAUGGAUAUGAAAUGAAACUCUCCUCUAGUACUGAAGUCAAGAAUUUCGCUAAGUAGUCAAAGGAGACAACUACAAUAAGAAACAACAUAUAGUCUAUUUAUUUGUUGCUAUUACCAAGUCCUGUAUUUGCCAGCCCCAACAGAAGCUCCACAGGGGAAAGGUAAGUCCUAAGGUUAUGUACGAGUCCUUUGUUCAUGGCGCCAUGGAUCCAACAGCAUACCUUUAGCUGACCUGGGGCCAAGCAAGGAGCAAUUCCAAUUCAAAAGCUCACUGCCGAGUCACUACUAACUCGCUUCACCACCCUAUGCCUCUUUUCACUCCGGCUCCUCCACCUCUGGUUUUAGUCAACUGGUUCUCUUUACACUCUAGGUUUUGGUUACUUUCCCUUGGAUUUAUCUGGUUCCUAACCUGCUCCGGACUCUAUACUUGUAUAAUUGACAACACUUUCAAAGGUGAACAAAACCCACUUACUGCUGCACUUAUAAUAAAUACUUCCUUCGCCUGUUACUAGGGUUAUAUACUAAAUACUAGACUCUCGCUAUCCCCUUUGCCCCCAACAGGUAAUUCCAAUUCUGUAAUGAUGUAAUGAUAGCCCGCCUCCAAAGGCAGGAGUCCUAGGCUAGAGAAAGAUUCUAGAGCUGGAUAAUUGGAACUCCAAAUCUCUAUUCUUAUUAAGGAAACCGUUAAAGGGACUGCCGCUACACAUUAGUCGUUACUUGGCUCGUUGUCACUCACUUUUCCUUCGUAGACUGACAUCGAUAUUGUCACAAGUUGUCCCCGUCUUUUUGGUUGCAAGUCGACUUCCUUUCCUAAACUGGCAUAGAAAUUGUUACACUGCCACGAAACCCCGUGAAAAAGGGCAAAUUCCCCAGCUGUUCACUGACCUAUCAUUACCUAUCGGGGUAAUUACUUGACUUUUCCUUUGUUUGGUCCAAUCCACUUUAUUAGGCAAUUAGCAGGUUUAACAUCCGAGAGUCUUGCAGUUCAAGCAAUAGUACAUAUCAGGAGUGGGAAGGUCUUAUUGGACAGAAAAGGGAGGUAGGACAGGUCUUAUUGGACGGAAAAGGGAGGUAGGACGUGCCCUUAAACUAGAACAUCGCUUCUUUCUAUUAUACCGGUGGCGGAGCAAUUAUGGAAUCCGCGGGGUAAUCAUAGUGAGCUAGAGGCUCCUCCACAAUAAGCAGUGUCCGUCCUAACCUUAUGGAAUUUGCAGAUGAUACACCCCUUCCUUUUAAGCGUACCGAGCAGAAGAAUGAAAGUAAGGCACUCAAUCCUUUUAUUCGGCAUCCGACUCCGAUAUUAGCAGAAGAAGAAGUUAAGGUAUUCCAAAGCUGUAAAACAAGUUAUCAGCGGUCAAAGGCAGAACCGGACCAGAACUAGUCUUUCCCUUGGCCGGAGAGCAAAUGCAAGUCCUUUCAAACUAGAGCUCCUGUCGGUCUUUAUAAUAGUAUUGAUUGCUCUAUUGCGCGGGUAUUAGCCUCAGAGGCGGCGUAAGGCAUUUCCCACAGUAAGACAUGCUCCCACUGGACGACAUGCGGAUAGAGAAGAGAAACAAAGCCCUUUCUAGGAGUCAUCCCUUGUUCACUUCUUUCCUUCUAAGAUUUUAUUCAACAGUGAUAAAGGAAAAGAGUAAGGCCAUAAAAGCAUUCAAUAGCAGCGCUUAUGCCUUCAACAAAGAGCUAAUUCCGGAACUUUAUUCUAUUUCAAUUGCAGCAGCUAGUUCCUUAGGAUUGCUAAACACUAGUCUUUCCUUCCCACCCAGAUUGCUAAACACUAGUCUUUCCUUCCCACCGGCAAUGCUAUACCUUAUCCAUUUUCCUUGACCUUCCAGCUGAGCCCCUUUCUUACGCAAAAUGCCUAUUUUCAAUCAGACUAGGCUGGGCGUUUGAUGGAAUUCAAUCAAGUGCUAGUAUUUGGAACUGCUCUAGUCAUUAUCUCUUCCUGUAAACUGAAGUGGAGUCUUUGGUCUCUUAGCCUAGCGGAAUUAAUGUAGUCUGCGGUCCCUUUGUCAAUGACCCAUGUCUUUGAGGAACUACUGUACUUGUUCCAUCCCAGAUUCUUUUUGCCCGUCUCACCAAACAAUGCUUCCCCACUUUCAAAGAAGUUGCCUAUUCCAACUGUACUGGUCUCUAUCAACUAACUAAAGCACUAAAGAGAGGUGGGGCAGGAGUCACUAAAGCACUAAAGAAAGAGAGGUGGGGCAGGAGUCACUAAAGCAUUAAAGAGAGGUGGGGCAGGAUACAUAUCUUUCUCUUUCAUAACCAAAAACGGGAUAUUCGCAUUAGCAUAAGGAGGAGAACGAAGAGAUGAGCACUUUUCAAGCAGUUUUCCUUAACGAAGUAAUCUAUGUGACCAAUGGACGUUUCAAAGAAAUAAGGGAGUCGGAGCUUUACUAUACUCCAAAUAUCGAUAUUGGUAGUUUGAGUAUAGAUUUGAGACUGGAACAUAUGCCUUCUGACUCUAUAGAUAGGACGACGUGACACGAAAUGGAUCACUUAGAACCUAUGAGAAAUUGAUAACAUUUCUCCUUUCCUUCUAAACUGCCUUUCCCGCAUCAGUCUAUAGAGUAGAUUUCCCAUCCUUGGUAAACUCUCGAGAUUGCUUUUCUUUUUAAUGUCGUCCGAGGAUCCAGUCCUGCAGGUGCUUGAAAAGGGAAUUCUCCCGAGACAUCAUUCGAGUUAGCAUCAAAGUUUGCGUAUGAGUUCGCGCAGUAAACGACAAAGGAAUUUCUUUCCUACUUCCAGAUAUUAUGAAAACUAAGCAGAGCAGGUGACUAGUCGGUUCCCCGUAGGGUAGGUCCAAACAUGGGACAACAGAAAGAUGCUCCAAUUGCCAAAGUGUCAUAGUCCGAGGCUCCGCUUGUUAUUUCGAUAGAGACCUACAGUCCGGAAGACCAGAAUGGCAUGACUUAUAUAAUAGGCAAGAGCCAACAGCAAAUACAAUUCGAGGAGCAUAAUCUGGCUCUAUCUAGAACUUAUUAUUUGGAUUCUUUUGGCUCUAUCUAGAACUUAUUAUUUGGAUUCUUUUGCUUAGUUAACGAGGUUAACGAGAAGAGGCGAAGAAAAGAAAGAAGCGCUCUAGCUAUCACUUGAUGUAUUGGUUUUGAAUCAACUCGUAAACGGGAGAAAAGAUGCUCUUAUUUCGCCAAGUCCAUAAGUACCAUAGGCAUAUACAAAGAGGAUUGACCACACUUGAUUUCAUGCAACUGUGCCUUCUCUCUCCGGUUAUCGUAUUCCUUUCUUAUAGCAGUUAGGGGGUUAGUUUCAAGCUCGUUUAUGGGAUGAUGUAUUUCGUUAGAGAACUUUGGUUUCUGCUAUGCUUAGAUACCUUGUCCAGCUACGUUACGUUAGAAGCUUCCACCUCGUGCAAACGGAUGCUUUUUCCAGAGGCAUGCCUCGGUUCAGAAAGGCUUUCGAUGUUUCCGAUGUUUUGAUCCUUCUUUUUGUUCUCUCCCGGCCCUGCUUGAAAACGGAUUGAUUCCAAUCGGGUCCAGGACAUUCGACGAAAAAGGAUGACCCAAUGCUAUGACCUUUAUCACCCCCAAAAAGGUAAAGAUCACACAUUUGGAAAUCAGCCCGCCCCUAAAUAUGUGUUCAGGAACGCUAUGUAAAUAGGGUCGCCCUCACACAGCAUCUAUUAGUGAAAUCAACAUACGUUUCAAAAAGCAUUUGGAAGCCAUAUAGCCAUUUAAGCCUUACUCCCUAUUAUCUCUUAAAUCAAGCUAUGAGAAAACGAGCCUUGGUAACCAAAGGCUUUAAGGCUGGAAAGUCAGCAAUGGAGUAUUGGCGGAGUGGGAGAGGUUAACUACAGGCUGAGAGACAGGCAAAGUAGACUGGACAAGUAACUACGGUGGAUCACCAUCAGCAGUAAUCCGUUUUGUUAGUGAGUUUGCCGGUGCAAGACAAUAACGGUAGCGUGAGUUUGCCGGUGCAAUACAAUAACGUUAGCUUACUUUCCUAGGGGUGGAUGCCUCAAUUCCCAUCUUUAUGCUUGUGGGCAUAUCCACAACCGAACAAGAGAGAAAUGCAAGGGCAGUAAACUAUAACAAGCAACAGCACAAGAGUAAGGCGAUAAAGGUUCGGAGAAGUCAAGAGCAGUGUGAGUAGCACUAGAAUCUCUUCCUGGCCUGCCGGGCCCUAUUGGUCAAACUUUUGUUGCACGAGAGGGUGUUGCUUUUGUAAAAGUCUUCAAUCUCUGUUCGAAAGUGAGGGUUCGGGGAAGUCCACCAUACCACUAGGACAGGAAGGGUCUCUUAACUGUAACUAUACUACUCGGACAGUCAGGGUUUUGAAACUGCCUCAUUUGCUUGGCAAUGAUCCCCAAAGCACCGCUUGGGCUAGGGAAAGGGCGGACGAGUACGACAUCUUAGAGCAGCUUAGGUAAAUACCGGUUCUUUCUAUUUUCGCUCAAUACAUCCCAGAAGCACACUUACAUCUUCUUUAGUGUUGCUAAAGUCAGUCCACAUUACCCAUAGUCUCCAGGCCUUCAGGCAAUGAUAGGGCAAAUCACUGCACCUCAACCCAUCGAAAAGGAUGCAGCACAUACAGGCCAUCUGCACAUUUGCCUCUCUACACAGAACAUAGAUUCUUUCAAAAGGUGCACAAAGUGCUUAUAUCCAAGGGUGCAGGAUGGAAUAUUGGAUUGGAGAUUUUUCCCCUAAAGCAGAGACUUGUGGGUAGGACCAGUGCAACAAGCUCUUCCACUUAAUGUCAUUGACAUACAUGCCGUCCUCGUUUAAUCAGCUCUUAGGAAAGACCUUGGCAGCAUGAAAACAUGACUGUAUCCAUGUAUCACUGCCUUUUCCAUAAAAUUCCCGGAAUAAGAUAGUUGAUGAAAUAGCAACCGAGGAGCUUCCUGCCUGCCUAUCAAGGAAUACGUAUAGAUCUUCCACUCCAGAAAACGACUCCAUUCUGCUAAUAAUCUAAGACAAAGAAGCAGCUAGGUCUCUGUCCCUUAACCCUAAAAGUCAUAAACCGGAGAAGAAUGAACACAAUCCUUUCCUUCAGCAUUCUACUGGAGCGGGGAGGAAGAAGAUACUUUCUAUAGGAAUAAGACCCAAGCUUGUGCUCCAACUUACCCUUACUUAUUCCAUUCUACGCCCCGAUGGGAAAGUAAUGCUCCACUUCUCCAAUAUUGAUUUACCUGGAUAUGGGGAACUAGGAAGAAUGAAAGACCCCAUCGACGAUUUGGUUUACUCCGGAACAAAGAUUCUAGAGAAAUGACUGGAUGAUGAACAAGAUGCACUGCUGCUGCAAUAGAACUUUGGAACCGGCAUCGAGGUCUCGCUGAGCCUUCUAUACUUUACUCCCGCACCACCUGGGAAGAAGACAAGAUCGAAUCCACAAGUCUCGUGCUCGUCUCGUUGAAUAUGGACACUAAAGAUACAUUUCGUAUUAUGACUUAUGAUAAAGCAUGAACAACUGCCCCCGUAGAAGCAUCAACAGGAAAGUGAAGCAAUACGAUGGAAGUGAAAUAAUCAUCAUAGGCUCCCCGAACAGAAGGAAUUGACUAUGGGUACCGACCGGGGAAGCCUGCCUAGCAAAGCAAAGUUUGGCCUAAAGCUAAGACAGAUAAUCGAUUGCUGCUCAUAGUCUGAGGGAGAGCUCGUCUAGAGAAGUAUUGAGAAAUAGUAAAGUCAGGAUAGAGGCUAUCGCCACCAAGGGUUCUGGAAGACGUAAGACGAAGUAGAUGAUGUGUUGAAUGUAAUUAAAUGCUGGAUUGAUGCCUUUGUUUCUUUCUAGGCUUGAUGCCAAUGUAAUUAAAUGCUGGAUUGAUGCCUUUGUUCGACCAAGCAACUACUAAUGACCAAGCAACGGGACAAACAACUGCUAAUGUUGUGCGUCAGCAAUAGUCAGAAGUCAUAACGAAGUUAUUACAGUAUCUGUGCUCGGACGUUGUGCGGUAGGAGCCUGAGCUAAACGGUAGCGAGUUAAAAGAGCGGCAGGAGCGGUUCCACGCCUAUAUCCUAACUAAGGCUUGUCAUCAAGCAGCUCAUUUAGUACUUACCUGAGUCUUGUUGCACCGAGGAAAACUCUCCAUUUCACCUGCAAACUUAGAGCCAAGGGCAUACAAUACCUUCACUUGAAGAACCGAACCAUUUGAAUCACUUAGCGCUAACUUUCCUAUAGUCUUUACUCACGCUGCUUCUGAAACAGUCAAUUCGGUAUUAGUUGACGGGAAGGGAAAGGUAGUUGAUUGAGGCGAAGUCCAGCCAGGUCCAGAUUCAUGGCAAAAAUGCACCAGAAGGAUCGUUUCUCUGUUUCAAUGGAAUUAUGGCUAUCAGAGGAGAAGAGCAGCCCUACCGCGGAAUCAGAUCGGUUGGCAGCUCACCUUUGACUUUAGCCAACACCAGGAUACUUUCCUGCUCCAGUAGAUUAUCUUGUUCCUCCUCCAGCUCUUGCUUCUGCUUCAACUAAAGAAGAUGCUGUGCACUACUUGUUCUAUUGUAUUUCGAGUCGAAUUCUUAGUAGUGCUAGUGGAAUUAUUCUUCUUAUUAGUAUAGAGGUCGGGUCAAGACUUAGUGGAGAAUGUCCUUAUUCUAUUUCAGUGGAGGAUGUCCUUAUUCCUAUUAGUGGAGAAUGUCCUUAUUCCUAUUAUAUUAGUUUAGAAUGUCCUUAUUAUAUUUCUAUUUCUGUUUGAGUUGGAAUCGUUCGGUUCUGAAUGAGUUUCUUCGUAUAUAGAUGCUGUGCCAAAGUAAGCAGAAGAGAAAUACAGAUCUUUAGAAGGAGCAGAUGAAGCGGAUGCAGAGCUUUAGAAGGAGCAGAUGAAGCAGAUGUGUAGGCAGGAUCGGAAUACGGAACAGGAGAACCAGAAUCAUAAUAAGAAGAUUUAGAAGCUGCCAGCAACAGGAUUAUUCUUGUUCCCCGUAUGAUAGAAGAAGGUCACUUACCCCAUCCAUGUGCUCUUUUUUAGAAUAUAUAGUAUCGAGUUAGAAUUGAAUGCGCUAAUUACUUACUUACUUAGUGGUAGCUUGUCUGCCGAAAACAGGAAUUGUCAUAAUGUAGUUACUCGGCGUUUCACUCCUCUUAUGGCAAAUGACCUAUAAAACCCAUGAAAAGCUCUUACAAUGCAUUUGAGCCUAUAAUACAGGACUUACUUAUUCUCGCUUCUGCUGCAAAUCCAUCUUCCGCUUGAGUUUAGACUCUGCCUUCUUCUCCCGAUCCUGCUCCAUCUUCUGGUUCAGAUCUAUCUUAUGCUUCUGCUCUCGAUUCAACAUAAUCACCUAUAAUAUGAACUAACAUAUAUACUGAUCUCUCUCUUUUUAACUAACAUAUAUACUGAUCUCUCUCUUUGACUUCAUCACAAUAAACUCAACUUGAAGAGAAGAACCCUUCCCUACCUGUUGCUAAUACUAAUGUUAACGUAAAGGAUGCUAAUAGCAGGACUUCCGCCGCUUACAGAGUUAGCUUGGAGCUUACGGAGUGUCAAUUCCAUUAAGCAGUUAAGCAGUUCAAUUUCAAUGACAGUUUUCCUCGGGGCAAAAGAAAAGUCAAGUGGGUGUUUGGCUCCAAAGUUGAGUAUUAACCUAGCCAUAGGGACAGUUAGGUCUGUGAAACUUACUAUAUGGGAUGGGGCAACCGGCAAUGCAAUUUCCAUGAAUAUACCUUGCAUAGCAUAUAAGUGAUUCAUUUCUCUCUCUUGAAACCUAUAUUGCAACUAGUCUAAUAAAAGAAUCCAACUUCUCCUUUGGGCGCCGGUCAAUAAUCAAGUAUGUGCUCUUCUCUAACAGCAGUAACUCAGGAACUCACGUUACACCGAUACUAAAUCUGGACUUGCGCGUUAGUUAGUGGGCGGAAUCUCCUAUUGAUCUCGAACUUUCACUCUUACACUUGUUGGAACUAAACCAAUAGUUUGCUUUCUCUUUGCACCCUUGCUAUCCUAUGAUCUUUAUGAACCACUUGUAGCAGGAUCGUUUGCGCAACGCACCUUUUCCUUUUCCUUUCUCCUGCGGAUUCUGGAGUCGCCAAGGAGUCGGGACAAUCAGUCUUAUCAUCACAGCGGUCUUACCUACCAUUACAAGGGGCUUCAUAAAGACAUUAUCUACAACAACUAAGGUCAAGGCAAUCAUGCUAAGGGAAAAGCCAAUCACUUCUAUCUACAACAAGCAGGGUAAAUAACCCCUCUGGUGGCCAACAAAAGAACCGACAACAGGACAAGAAGUGUAGUGACCAACCUAUGGCGCUACUCAUUAAUUUCAAGGAGACUUCACUCUAACAUCAAUUGAUUACCCUUUACCUGGCAGUACUUGUGCUCGAUGCGUAAGAGAUGGAUUCAAUUAAUAUGUUUGAAGCAGUUCUGUGUUUCACCUAUGGUAAACUAAUCCAAUGUAGAAUUGAUUUCACUAAGUCUUGCCCCGACCUCUGCUUCUCGCCCUGGAUCCUCUUGCUAAUGCAGAUCUUUGAGUUUCGGCUUGAAUACCAGUUAGCAGCAAAUAAAUGCAAAUACGGAGGAGCCUUCUUUCUCGGUGAAAGACUAUCAAACCCUCCGAAAAGCUCUUACAAUGCAUUCACUUGCCCUCAAUCUACCCGUUGCUAUAAUCAAAUCCUAUUUAUUACUCUAUUUUAUACGAGAUACUUGCCUUAGAGCUGUAGGGCUAGUAGGACCAAGAGCAAGUCCUGUUCUCUUUGCCCAAGAAGGAUCCCUGGUUUAGUGAAGGAAGACCCAGGUCCAGACCCAACUUAAUAUGCAGUUGGAAGAUAAUCUGAAGUUCUCAUUUUGGAUCUAGUUGAAAGAGAAGCAGUUAGGUCAGGGGUUGAGCAGGAUCUAAAGAAGAAUAAUCAGCGGAUAAAGAAUUUGGUAAAGAAUAAGGAAAAGUCAGAAAGUAAGCUCCAAAGUUGAAAGGUGAAGUUCCGGGUCCAGCCCUGAAGUUAAUGGUUGAAGUUCCAGGUUCGAGCAAGGAUUUAAGUGUUGGGAGUUAAGUCCUUAUAGGGUGCGAGUUCCCUUGCUAGUUCUUACUCAUUUAACUGAACAAACUGAAUGGAAUCCAAUCUAGCGUUCAUUCACUGGCAUUUCCCAUCUAGCGUUCAUUCACUGGCAUUGUAUAGAAGAUGAGUCUGUAAUAGGUUAGUCAAUCCUCUGUAAAUGGUGAAAGAAGAGACGCCCCCACUUUUGUAGAUGAUAAAGGGGCUAACUCAGACCUAGCUAUAGCCUUAAAGCAUCAGUUUUCUUUGAUGUUUAUCAGCAUGCGCGCUGUAUAGGCAUUGCUAAACAUUUCCAAUUGAGCUAGACUUCUGCCCGGGGAAAGCGUCGUACCCCUAAUGGGUGGUGUCCGUGCCUAUCUGAGGAACUUGUCGCUGAGAAAUACCAAACUCAAGUAGUUAUGGGGUUAACAACAGAGGGGUUAAGAAAGGUAGAUUGCAUUGAAUACUGUAAUUCCACUGUCCGCAAGAGUGGUCAACGAUCCCGAAUCUAAUGCAUAAGUAAAGUAAGGUGCUGAAAGCUGUGGGAACUCUCCCGAAGUAGGCACCAAGCAAGGGAAGAGAGUGAGUGACUUACUGACUUCCAUAGGAGUGAAGUUCUCUUCUAGUUCAAUCCUUGAAUACCAUAAUUCCACUGUCCCCUUUCCAGAAUGGCAUGAAGCUUGUGUGUAAAGACGGUGAAGUUAUUCUCGGCAAUGAUUCAAUGCUUUCCUGGCCUGUGUUCAAUGGCAUGAAGUCAGCUUUCCGUAAUAGCAUGGGAAAUUCCUUGAUUCGGGAAGUCAAGGCAUGAAUAAAGCAAUUAAGGAAGCGUGGCUAAUUCCUUAUCUACGGUACGGGAGCACACUUCAUCUUUGAGUUCCCCCCCACUAUGGAUUUCCAAAUCAUCAUCUUUCCUUUCAUCAACAACAUCCAAUUCCAUUGCAGAAAUCAAGAAAUCGAUUCCUUAAGCUUCCCGCUUCUGGCUUCCCUUUUUCCAAAUCCAUAAUUGUAUAUCUGUACCUUGCUUGGGGAGGUAUAUCAAUCUCUUUCCUUUCUUUGCCCCUCGUUCGGGAGAGGGUUUCUCCGCUCUGGUUCACCACCUCAUAUUGAAUAAGCUCCUUUAAUUGUCCCCUAUUUCCAUUUGAACUAUUUAUUCGUUUUUAGUAUAUUAAGGAAUACUAGCAUAUGCUUUCCUUUCUAUCCGGAAAGGAAUCAAGUGAUCAAGUCAGCUUCCUGUAAGAAAGAAAGAAAGUUCAAUUAGAUCCGUAAAGUCGCUUUAUAAUCAAUAGCCUACUUUUGAGAAUCCUAAUCUUCCUACAUGGAGCCGAGAAAACAGGUAAACCCAUCCUGCUCCAUCCCUUAUGCCAGCCUACAUGACUUCUCAAGAAUUGAAUGCUUCCCAUGGCAAUACUGUCCAGAUAAUAGGUUGCAGAGGAGAUAAGGGGAUCCAUCAGGCGAUAGAUAGCAUAUGUUUGUGUAAUAGUACCAUUUGUAAUAGGGCAUGUAUAUGGUUUUGAGUUAAGCACUUAGAGUUCCGGGAAUAAAGAAUAAUGAUUGGAUUUCUGUCCAUCGGGAGAAAGCUUAGGAAAAGAGGCAAUAGGCAAAAGGCAAGACAGCAGGAGAUCAUAGGGUUAUAAUCUAGCAGUUCGUUUUUAGGAGCGCUGUUUUCAUCCAACUACCCAAAUCGUAAGAGUUCCGCCACUUUGACGCCCAAAAGUGCCAUUUCUUUCUUAGUUGAACCAAUUUCCAAAAAGUAAAUACACCAGUUUGAGCUUGACACUUUAGGGUACAACAUCGAAAAAGUAAAUAAACCUCUAUUCUUCUUAUUAUUGUGAGCAUUAAACUAUCAAGAGUCAAAGCUGAAACAAGGCUAAUCGCAAAUCGUGAUGUCUUACUAGAUUCUAAUGGAUACAUACCCUUUGUCCCUCGCUUACUCGGUUGCCACUGUUCUCAAAUCAGUAGUUUCUGUGCGGAUAGAAAUUCCUCUUUGUUGACAGGCUACCCUCUAGAAACCUCACCCCAGGUAAACCGAACCGGGGAAUACCUUCCAUUUUACUUAAUCAGAGUUCCUUCUGUCUUCUGCCUCUCCAAUCAGAUCAACUGGCUUUCACUCCCAGAUUGGCUGCUUUCUUACUUAUUUUAUGCCAACUAAGACAUAUAUCCAAAAGGCAUUCAAGCCUACCCGGGAUGAACUCCCACUCUUCUUGUUUCUUUGUUCCGGUUUCUUUCUUUCAUGGAUUGACUAUUGGAUUAACUAUUCGUCAAGUACCUGAGCUCCUUACUUAUUUCUGUUUCUUUAUCCCUGCCACCAUUGUCUUUCCUGAUAGAAAUAGUUCCAAGCAGUUGCUUUUCUUUUGGAAUGCAUACGGAGAAGCUCACUUUAGUUGUAUAUGGUAUGGCCGCUAAGAAGCAUCAUCGGUCAGAUUGGAUCCAACUUAGUACGUAUGAUGGGUUGAUUUAAGGUCCCGGAUCGAUCACUUAUAGCAUUCAAAGCGGAUUCUAUUCCUCCCUGUUUUGUCAGUCCCACUUAGCACAACUAAAAGAUAAGAUUCUCCACAAGUAUAGUUUUCUAGGAGAGGCUUUCAGCACCUUACUUAUUUCCCUUAAAGGAGCCUACCGGAUAAAAGGCAAUAGGUCUACGAAACAGAAGAAAGGUAUAUAAAUGGAGAAGUUACGAAACAGAAGAAAGGUAUAUAAAUGGAGAAGUAUGGAUUUGACCUGCUAUGCUAAUAGGUGGCGCUAUCAAUAGGGGAGGCCUAUGCUUUGGACGUUCUAAAUAAGGUUCCGGAAAGCUUUACUGAUCCACGGAAGCAUCAUCGAUAAGAGGCAUAGGCUAGUAAUCGAGUGAAACAAUAAAUAGCGGAUUCUUGUAUGGAAGUCCCUAGUCGAUCUCUUCUAGCUGGACUGGCCUCUCUUUACCUCUGCUGAGACUGACUUCGCCCUUAGGGAAAUAUGCGAAAAAAGCAGUUUACUAGCCGCAUAAAGGCAAAGGAGCGAACAGCAUCUUUGGAGAGCUUAGAGCGUCAAGACAAGCCCCGACGUCGGAACUUCACUGAAAGAAAGCAUAGGCGGAAGCUUGAGCUGAUAUAUGCCCAGAGCUUAUUAUAUUCCUAAGUGAGACAUUGGGACACAUAAGUAGCUUAGCGGGAAGAAGCCUCAGUAUGGGGGCGGGCGUUUGAGGCAGAGGAAAAGGGGCUUCCCAUUCUUAGCGGAUUUUCUGAUGGGUGUAAACCUCUUAUCCUGAGAAAGCUUCUAUCUAAAGUGGUUUUUCGGGGGUAAGCUUCUGCUCUCUGUAGCUUACUUCACUUUCCUUACUUCUGUUUUUUCUCUUUCACUUAGAGUUUCGGUCAUGAGACAACCAAAACCCAUUGAAAUGGGCAAGUUUCUUUAAGGAAAUCAGGGGCCAUUUCUAGAUUUCGAUAAUAGGUGCCGGUGCCUAACGUAAUGACAUUCUCCCCCCUUCCAUUCCAUUCCUUCAUCACCUACUGCAGAGGUUUCAUAACCAGAGGCUACGGGAGCUAUUCGAUAGAAUGAAGUUUAUGAUCUAUCUUUUUCAUAGGGAUGAGGGAUUUCCUAAGGCUUAGGCCGGGAUGGAAAAACACUAUGUGGCAACUGAGCGAGGAAUCAAAUAUAGACUGGAAUCAGGUGCUUAUAAGCCUUAUACUGAUAACUAACUCUUCCCCUACUACCGGACAUUCCUUAUUUCCACCUAUUGACUUAGACCAACUAGUGCUAUUUAAACUAUGAGACUUAUAUCAACUAGUUCCAUUCUCUUUCUUUAUGUAAACAUAUCAAUCUGCCUUUCCUGUCCCUCGUUGCUGUUAGCCCACCCCUCUUUGCUUUAAGUCAGGUUUCCUGUCCCGUUACUCACGCCUAUGAGUCUUACUGUUGCUCUCCUCCCCUCUUAUUCUUGAGGAACAGAUCUAGCCUUACAUCGCUUGCUUCAAAACUGACACUACCAAGCUAACCACCCUCCCUUGCUACUAUACUCCUGAUUACAGGCCUUAUUCCUUUGUCUUAGUCUGAGAACUACUUGGUUGACUCUUCAGUUGCUUGUAUUCAUUCAGUUGACUUAUAUGUAUUAUGAAAUGUAUACUUUAUUUCACAGUAAAUAGUUGUUCUCUCAUCAGUUGUAGAUGCAUUGCCAGUUGCUUGUUCAAGUAUUAGAGAUGGUCACUCUAUUCCUUGUUUUUAGCCCAACUCUUCAUUAAAUGUUAGUAAAGCAAGGUCAGCGUCAGCUGCUGGGCUGGCAGUGAAAAAGAAUAAGAGUCAGGGAGGUGAGAAUGAGAUCGAGUAAUGGUAGACUAACCCCGGGAGUUAUGGAUUGAUUGAUUCCUGUCCCUCCGAGAAAGUAUUAGAAGCAUCAAUGAAAGUUUCAGAAAAAGUGAAGGAAGAACGAAACUAACAAGAAAAAGGCUCACAGGUAAGACUCAUAGGCCGGGGGCAGAGGCUAAGGUAUGGUAAAGCAAAGAUCUGGAUUAGGAGAUAUAGAACGAGUUCCGAGAGCUCAGGUCUUGUUUGCCCCGGUUCCUUUAUCGAAUGCCUAGUUAUUAGUUAAAGUACCAUACCUAUAUAUAGUUGUUAAAGCCCUGUGUUCUUUUUUGAAUCUCAUAUGCCCGGGUUCGAUUCUCAAAUAAGUCGUAGGUUGAUUCCCAAGUUAUAUUCUCUGUAUUGGUAGUGAAAGCCUAGCUCCCAGUUUUGAUUCCCAGGGAUUGACUUUUCUAGUGAAAAAGAGACCAACGUCUUGGGGCUAACGUGGGCGUGGGAUCCGCUCAACUACUUGUUUAGGUAAAUAUAGAAUGCCUUCCCCAGGUCAUUUUCUUAGGAGAAACUAUGCGCUUUUCAAAAAAAGGUCGGAAUAAAUCGGGUUGGUUUUCAAUAUAAUAGAAUAGAUAGAAUAUUUCAAUAUAAUAGAAUAGAUAGAAUAUGUUACUAUACCAGAUAGAAUAUGUUACUAUACCUGUAGAUAGAAUAUGUUACUAUACCGGCUUGAUGCAAAAAAAGACAAAACGGGAUUGUAUUUCCACUCAUAAGGAAUGAAGGUUAUCCACCUUUGGCAGGGUUGUAUUUUUGGUUCCAAUGGGAUGGUGUUCAAACUCCCCAAAUGCUGUCUAGACAGCCCCUUUCUGACUCGGCGAAGGGUAACUCUCCUCCGGAGCAUGCUUAACUGCAACUCAUUCGUCCUGACCAAAUUGUAGAAUCUAUCUCUCAGCGAUUCUUUUAUCAGCGAAUCACCACGCCCCGAUCGGCUAAUUCUCGGUUGCUUUAUCGAACAAAGCGGGAUAUCUCUAUUUUCCACCAUUACUGCAGGCGUCGACCAGCAAAGCGAUACGGCACUUACAUAAGAGCACGAAGAAAGAACGCUUACAUAAGAGUAUAUUACCAACCCACCCUUAUGUAGAACCUAUGAACAUGAGUAAAGCGCCUGGAUGCAUAAGGGAAGUGCACGUUUGUGAGACCUUUGUCGGGAUGCAUUAGGGGAGUAAACCUACGAGCACAGAAGAGCGUGGUACCGCUGCCCCUCUAUAAGUAUAAGGUAAUCUGCUUUUCUGAACCCAGCUCGCGCACCCAACAUAGACUUGGAUAUAAUAAACACAGCUUCAUAUCUUUAAACUGAGUCUGAUCCAUUUAAACGGAGUCUGCUCCUUCACUACAUUUCUUUAUCUCCUUCACUACCUUUCUAUCCUUCACUACAUUUCUCUAUUUCUAUAAUAGUUGCCCCGGCGCGCAUCGGUCAGGUCAACCUAGCUCCGGUCGGGACGGACGAUCCCUUAUUUCCAAUUGAGUGGGUGGGAAAGGAAAAACCAAAUGCUUGUCAUGCUAUUCAUUCCUACGGGGAAUCUUCCUUUGCAUUCAUUGAUUCCUUGGAUCAAGGACAUGGGAGGUGUCCGCCAAUUGAAAGUUCAAAGCCCCAGCAUAAUUCUUUGUUCCUUCCCAUUUGCAUCGUAUUGUCCAAGCUCAGAGAGUUGUUCAUUUUAGCCGAUUCUACAAGAUCUAUGGUACGAUUGAUAUCGAAUAUAGUUAACCCCCGUCCAGUCCAAUAGUCAAGGUUUUUCUGCCCCACAUGUGAAAGCCUAUUUAUGUUCCAAUCCGAUCGCUUCCGAACAUAUAUGUGUGGUGAACUGAGCCCCUAUGGACUACAAGGUUCUGGCUGGUCGGGCAGAUAAUGAGUCGCCAAUCCACAUUGGAUCGAUUGCUACUCUUGGAGAAUGGACAGAAAAAGGGUGCUGCUUCGAUUACAAGUAUACAGGGAUUCAAUGAGUGAGUUUUAAAGCAAAGGGAAAGCUGUGUUAGGUAUAGAAAGGAGUCAUAUUCCUACCUUAGAUACUCGGAUAUACAGAUAGAAAUGAGAAAUUCCAUGUAGCAAGCAAUUCUUCAAGUUAAGUUCGAGGAGGACUUGCAGCCGCUCGACGAAAGCUGGAAUCUCAAUUGAUAACUAGAGUAAUAGGAUUGAGCCGCGCGUUAGUCGUUUCCCUGACUUCACUUAAUAAUGAUUCCACAUACUCCUUUGACUUUUGAAUAGAUUACCGACUCCUGUAACUCACUUGAGAAUAGAAUUCCGCCUAGCCCCCGCCCUGUAGAGCCUUCACUUGUAGACUUAGAGAAAUAAGGUUGCUCCGGCCUGUACUUAAUGGAAUUGCCCUUGAGACUUAACCGACGGAGGAGUAUAGUAGGCAUUCGUUCUUAGUAUAAUAGUUGGGCAUAGGUGAUCUUAUAGAUGAAACAAGAACAGCAGCAUAGGUGAUCUUAUAGAUGAAACAAGAACAGCAUUAGCUUUAGAGGGAAUUUCUUCUUAUCCAGCUCCAUAUCCAUCUCGAAGUCAAUCGGGAAAAGAUCUUAGCGCAGAAGAGAAAGGUGACUUGGGGCUGCCUAUAGCUUCUCAAUAAUGGUAAAGUCGGGAGUCAGGCUUCUAUGAAUGUAGUAUAGAACUAGCUUAGCUUUAGCGCAAUGAAGUCACUUUAUUUAAGGUUAUUUAAGGGUUAGGGUUCGGGGCAGAAUAUCUUACCCGCAACUAAAACGAAAAAGGGAGAAUGGCAUCUAUCUCUAGCGCCUGUUCCGAGAUACCUUCCUGCUCCUUAUGAUGAUCCGUAUUCUUUACCUUUUUCCGAUAUGGCUACUGAUCUCAUAGACUUCACUGGCACUGCGGAUUCUGCUGUCGACAAAACCGGAAUAGAAACUUCUUCCAGUACAGAUGCGUUUGGGCUUACUUAAUGGUGCCCUUGCUUUUAGAUACUCCACUGAAGUACAAAGAGCACCAACGAUACAAUCACCUGAACACGGAAAGUCAGCUAGGCACCCCGAGUUGCUUGUUGUCGAGGAAAACAGUAAAACACAGAAUUCCAAUAAUACGUAUCGAGUACCAAUGAUAGAAUGAAGUAAACACAUACACAGAACAAGUAAUGUUUUCGAGAGCUAAGCCACUGAUUCAUUACUUUGAGAAUCGUUUGCUGUUGCUAUAUUCCUAUUCAAUCAAAAGCACUUUAUUCAGCCUCCUAACCCUCACCAGUUCUUUAGUAACCAGUUCUUUCUCACUCUCACAGUAACACCUGAUUUAGAGUGCUUUCCGAUCUCACUGCUGCUGACUUUAGAACUUCUCCUUGAAAGCUUAUGUAUAAAAGCCAUGGUCAAUUACCCUAAUAGCAAAUACACCUUUUGUCGUCUUGGCUGGUCAAAGGAAUCUAUCUCUUUUUAGAGCGGAGGCACAAGGAAUCUAUCUCUUUCUUGUCUUGCGCCGAGUAAAACACUGGAUAGGCAACCGCAUCUAUUAUUCUUAUAUAUUAAUUAUAGGAAUUGACACCCAUAGGAAAGGAUUGAAUUGACACACCGCCCCUCUGCCUGGCUAGGCAAAUGAUUCUGUUUCAGUACACCUCGCCGAAGAAACACUCUUUCUUUAGUAAUCUACCGCAAUUUAUGUAUAAGGGGGCUUAGUAUAGGUCUCAAUCUGGUCUUCCAGCUACCCGGCAACCCGAAACUCUACUUUCCAUCUUUAGCUUCUUAUCCCAAUAUAAGGAGAGGUGCUGAAAGCCUUGACUGAUAGCUUCUAAACUUACUACUAGAAAUCCUUUACUCCGCAACUGACUAUAGGGGCAGAAGAAGUUGAUACCUUACCUUAUCAGUUAGCAGAGAUGAGCUAGCAGGGUUCAAUGAGAAGAUACGAAGCUCGAGAUUGAUUUGAUACCAGAAUUAGGCUCUCUUCUCUUCUUGCCAGUCAAUACAGUCGGAUUAAAGUCAGAAUAGACCUCCCUCGCCUAAAGACCCGCUUGCUUGAUACCCUCGUUCGUAAACUACCCUUGAAGACCCGCUUGUAGUUGACUUUAGAACUAUUGAUUCUGUUUCAGGACUUAGCCCAUCAGCAUCAAAGAAAGAAUCAAGAUCUUCUACAGUAGCGCGUAUAAGAGUUGACCUCAUAAGAGUUUACCUCGCUCUCGAAUCUUAUGCCUCAGAUCCCGAAAACAGUGAGUCUUCAGUUGACAGGCAAGCGACUCUACUAGACAAGUGAACGCCUGAAUGAAGUCAAAUCACCUCUAUUUAUGACAAACAAGCACCUUUCCUUGCGCCAACAAACACGUAUUACUUGAGAACAGGCUAUACUUGAAUCAUCACUUCCCGCUGUGCUUACUUUCUCUCUACUGCUCCUAAGGUUAUGAGCAAGUACUGGGGAAACUCCACUCCAAUUCCCAUUAUGUUAUGAGAAAUUCUCUAUCUUGCCCUGCCCCCUUCCCUUUAGCACUUGUUAUUGCCCUUGCCGUCCCAGUAAGUGCUCCUUCUUGACCAACCCUAGCCCUGUAUGGGAAUGAAACUACCCUUAACAUCAAGUAAGCCAGGGUCAACUCAAACUAGGCGAACGAACAGAACAAAGUCGACUUAACUCUCACAAGAACAGGCAAUUCUACUAAGUAGUUCUAUCUCCGUCCCAUCACUAGUAGGGUUCAGCCACCUCAAUUCCUGUGCCCUUAAGUAAUUGGUUACGCGGCUGCUCUCCUUUGAUUCAAUCCGAUAGGCCCUUUUUCCCUAGUUUCUAUAGAUAGGAAAACACUAGUCAAAUACAUUAACAUUAAUCUAAGUAAACGGAAUACUUGACUUAAUUAAUAACAUCAAAUAUAGAAUGAAAGCAACGAGUGCUAGUUUUCAAGCAGAGAUAGGGAAUGCAGCUGACGAAUGGCAGACUACCUUGGUGCCCUCGACGAAAAGAAUAGAAGAGAAGACAGGAGAGUUGGACUAAAACAAUAGAAUAGGAAUACAUCCUAGCGAGCGCCAGUUUUCAACACUAAAGCAUAGGUCAUUGUAGACAUUGGCAGAGCGCAAGAGUGGAUGGGGAACCUUCGAGACAGAAGCGACAGAGUUAGAGUAACGAGUGGCAGGCGCAUGGUCAGUAGUUUGGUUCCCCGGUUCUUUUCUCGAUACGAUUAAGUAGCACUUGUAGAAUGAGAUAAAGAUGAGUAAGUAGCACUUGUAGAAUGAGAUAAAGCAAUCGAAUAAGAAAAGUAAGCUGCUACAGAACGAGUUCCGAGUAAGGCAUUAAAGGCAAUAGAGCAAAGAUCUGGAUCAGCAACUAAAGUCUCAUUAGGCGCUAGCGUAUUCUCUCAUUAUCCAGGGUAUCAGUCGUGGUAGCGCGUAUUGGUGUUAAUAGCAAAGAUCCGGGGAUCCCCUAGACAUUCUUAUACUAUAUGAGCUUAUACUAUUGAGCUUCUACUAUUUCGUUUUCUUCUUGACUCUUCUUGUUAGUAUUGGUAUGCUUGCCGGGGCGCUCCCUUAGUCUUGAAUCUCCAAAUCGAAUACUUUUAGUAAGGGGUGGUUUAAUGAGAUAAUGGAGUAGAAGAGCCAAACUCAUAAGUCAGACUUCAAACAAGGAGAGGCAGCUCCGUUACGUUAAAUAAAAGGAGAGGCAGCUCGGUCUGUUAGCGGCUUCUUAGUAAUUGCUUGUUCAGUGUAGAUUUCAUUUCAGAUCCACUACUUCUGAUGCAGAGCUACGAGCUACUGGAUCCACGAGAGAAUCAAUGAAUUCUUAAGCUUACAAUACAUAAACGAUAUCCUGACUUUCCUUUUGGAUUCUUCAAGAACUUAUGCCGUGUUGAGAGUUUCUCUCUUAUCUUAUACUUAUGGUUUUUAUACCGGUGCGUGAACGGGAGAUGUAAGAUUAGAUGCUGAUAUCAGUUAGUUAAGUCUAAGCUUAUGAGUUAAGGUAUGAGAAGCUGUAGUUCGAGUCUGUAGGGAAUUCCUAGUGAGUUGCCUUCACUCUAGAUUCUGUUCUUUCUUUCUUCCUUCUCCUCGAGUAGCCUGCCUUAUUAUCUUAUAUCUUAUAGGGCGAAUUUACGAAAUUCAAGAAAGCGAUAAUCUCCACUCCGCACCAUAUCUCUCUUGCUAUCCUGCACUGUGCCUGUUUUUUUCUAUACUAGUCAUUUAUCUCUCUUCGAAGAGCCAGACGACUUCUUCACUCCUACGCUAUGCUCCUCGGCUUUCUUUAAAGCCUUGUUACUCCCAGCAGUAAGCUUUGAAUUCAACUAGCCAAGCGGAGAUCAAUCCUUUGAAGGGAAUGAAUCCGCCCUUAUCUCUGAGUCGAGAAGGAUUUCCAUCGCUGACGAACAUGAAGCACAAAUCAAUUCCAGGAGAGGGAAAACCCUUCGAUAUAAGGAGUGAUACUAUACCAAUUAUCUAUGAAAGCCCGUGUUUUUGUCCGACCUUCUUCUUUCUAAAGGCAAGGCCAGCUACUUUUCCAGGAAAGAGGAGCCCACUCACUGUGGAAAAGAAUGCCUAUUCUCAUUUGACUCGCAUAGCUUAUGUCCUAUUGUGCUUAUCCCCUUGGCCUAGCCCUGCCAACGAUAGAAGUAUUCCGGUACUAAAAGGAGAAUUGGAUUCUUUAAGAGCUUUAUGCCUACGCCUAAUUCUUCACAGCACCGAAUCCGCCAACUGAUGUUGCUUCCCUUAACUAAAGCAUGGAACCUUACUUAAGAUUUCAGAAAGAACAUAUUAUCAUUGUGAGGAAAUCCGUUUCGACGACUGUCAAAUUCCCCCCCUAUUCCAGUCCAAACCUGCUGACGGAAUGCAAUGCUUAGAAAAGCAGCAGAUCCAUCUAGCAAGAAGAAAGGAUCCAGAGAGUGAAACAAUAGGAUCUACUCGCACUCAAUGGGAAGAAGGGCAAAGACAAGAUGUGGAAAUAACCUUUCGCAGGAAUGAUGCUCCUCACUUUGAAGGCACUCAAGCGAGCCCACAAUCAUUUCCGCCUCCAAUCUUAUAGGCAGCUUGUUUCGCUCAGAUACACGAUAGAUAGAUAGUCAAGCCGGUGAAGAAAGAGGGACUUCUGUCUCAAAUACGGAAUCCAAGACGGACUUCUUUCUAAGACGGAUUUCCUUCUAACAGACAGAGUAUAUCAAUUUCUCUAUAAUAUGGAAAUUACGAAUCAAUCCUUCUCAAUAGAUUGUCUAUAUUAAUUAGGGUUAAGGAAUGCGAUCUUUUCCUCUCUUUCGAAAGCUCUACUAUAAGAAAAGAGAAUCAAUCUAAUCCAAUAAGUAUGAAAAAAGCCUUUGGGAUUGCUGUAUAGCUCAGAAAGCUCCAUUCAAUAUCUCACUACUAUCGUCAUUAUGUAAGCUAGGCUCGAGGGCGCUCUCGGGACACCUUAUAUUCCCCUUCUGACUUUCGACAUACCAGCCAGUCUACCAGCCAGCCCUAGGCCUUGUGUGGUCCUUCAUUUGAAAGAGGUGCGCCUUAAAGAUCAAGAUAAUAGGUCGAUCAAUUCCUCUUUCCUACUUGCCUUGGAAGGGAUCUUUUCGCCUAUGAUAGCCUUUUGAAUAUGAGAUUAUCACAGGACAGGUCUUUCCUCCCCUAAGAAAGUGGCAGUACCUUAAAUAGAAGUGGGAAGAUUGCGGAAUCCAAGAAAGAACAGGGAAUUCCAUCUAGGUAACCUCGUCCUUUUCAAGCUCAUGCCUGAGCAGCCCGAUCUCUAAGAAUCAAAGAUAUGCGCAUAGUCAGAACGGAUGAAGGACCGCUACCCAUUACAACGAGGAUGACAACUUCCUACCAAUCCAAAAAAAGAAGACUGAUAAAGCGUGUACUACCUUCAUUUGAGAAAAGCCUUUACUACCUUCAUUUAAAGAGUCAGGUGCCCUAUAAGUCCUAGUNNNNNNNNNNNNNNNNNNNNNNNNNNNNNNNNNNNNNNNNNNNNNNNNNNNNNNNNNNNNNNNNNNNNNNNNNNNNNNNNNNNNNNNNNNNNNNNNNNNNNNNNNNNNNNNNNNNNNNNNNNNNNNNNNNNNNNNNNNNNNNNNNNNNNNNNNNNNNNNNNNNNNNNNNNNNNNNNNNNNNNNNNNNNNNNNNNNNNNNNNNNNNNNNNNNNNNNNNNNNNNNNNNNNNNNNNNNNNNNNNNNNNNNNNNNNNNNNNNNNNNNNNNNNNNNNNNNNNNNNNNNNNNNNNNNNNNNNNNNNNNNNNNNNNNNNNNNNNNNNNNNNNNNNNNNNNNNNNNNNNNNNNNNNNNNNNNNNNNNNNNNNNNNNNNNNNNNNNNNNNNNNNNNNNNNNNNNNNNNNNNNNNNNNNNNNNNNNNNNNNNNNNNNNNNNNNNNNNNNNNNNNNNNNNNNNNNNNNNNNNNNNNNNNNNNNNNNNNNNNNNNNNNNNNNNNNNNNNNNNNNNNNNNNNNNNNNNNNNNNNNNNNNNNNNNNNNNNNNNNNNNNNNNNNNNNNNNNNNNNNNNNNNNNNNNNNNNNNNNNNNNNNNNNNNNNNNNNNNNNNNNNNNNNNNNNNNNNNNNNNNNNNNNNNNNNNNNNNNNNNNNNNNNNNNNNNNNNNNNNNNNNNNNNNNNNNNNNNNNNNNNNNNNNNNNNNNNNNNNNNNNNNNNNNNNNNNNNNNNNNNNNNNNNNNNNNNNNNNNNNNNNNNNNNNNNNNNNNNNNNNNNNNNNNNNNNNNNNNNNNNNNNNNNNNNNNNNNNNNNNNNNNNNNNNNNNNNNNNNNNNNNNNNNNNNNNNNNNNNNNNNNNNNNNNNNNNNNNNNNNNNNNNNNNNNNNNNNNNNNNNNNNNNNNNNNNNNNNNNNNNNNNNNNNNNNNNNNNNNNNNNNNNNNNNNNNNNNNNNNNNNNNNNNNNNNNNNNNNNNNNNNNNAUCACGCUGUCCAGUAUACUAAAUGGUUCGUUCCAGUGCCAGUGAUAGAUUCGUUUCGAAAGAUCGUAUCGCGAGAUCGCUUUUUCUCAAUCUAGUAAUAGGGUCGAGAUGGAUUCCUUUCGUGGCUUGGGCUUUUCCUCUGACUUUGAUUGCUUUAUUGUGCUAAAGGCUUUGCCAUGUCAUUCCCUUUGAUUGCUAGUAAGAAGGUAAGUAGCUUCGCUUCCUUGUGGAUAGCAGCACUUCCUUCGCUUCCGGCUUCCGGGCUUCCCUUCGCCUUCGACGAUCUUGUUUUCUUCGCACCCUCUUUGCGACCUCAUCACUGAAAUGAAAGCUUUCCCUUGUUUCUAACCUGUUGAUUCUAUGUGGCUAAUCCAUUCCGGGCCAAGCUUAGUAGUUAGACCAAGUCACUAGGCGCUGCUAUGUGUUUGUCGUAGUUACUUGGCGCUCGCUACAAAAUGCAUUUAACAUGCCUGAAACUUAGCUAAAAGCCUAAGGUCUCUGUUUAAAAGCCUAUAAGGUCUCUGUUUCUGUCUUUCUUCAGCGCGGGUUUGAAGGUUCUCUUCAAGUCUUGUUCGGUGCUUGGUUUGAUUUACCUUUGUUGUGGCGGUAAGAGAAGAUGCGGGUAAAUACAAUAGAAAUCCCCAAUGUGCUACAUGCGCUAAAGGACUACCUUGAUUCCUUAAAAAGAACAGUUCAUUCCGCAGAAGAAACGGAAUCAUUAGCUAUGUAUGAUGGAAGGGGGUAACCAACCGGCGUGCUCUUUCUCUAAAGGCAGUUCGACACUUGACCAUUACUCUAUCCUAGGCAUAUAAAUAUUUCAUAAAAGGGUAUGCGUAAUGAGAUAACUCACAAACAAUGGAAAUUCUAUAAACUAAUGUAAUAUAAUAAGAGUCAGAGAAGUGUUGCCUUUAAGUCGUCAGCAGAAGAAGCUAAGGUAGAAAGUAUUGUUCCAAGUCCAGCUUUAGGCUAAAGGGCCGCUAGUGUUCGGCUAUUAUACCUAUUGAUACUAUACCAGAAUUCUUAUCCUCCUAUUGUACCUAUACCAGAAUUCUGAUCCUCUGUUUUCUACCUUACGGUUUCACAGGACCACUUCAGGACAUUCCCUAAGUCAAGAAAGUGAAGGCAACAAUCCAAUUGUCUAGUAUACGCUUGGCCCGUUGCUUGUUCAGUGCGGUAUCAAGGUUCAGUAUAAAGGAACGGUAGCGCUAAGUACUUUCUUCUAUCUAUAUAAAGCUUCAAGAAUGGAAUUGUAUAUAAAGCUUCAAGAAUGGAAUUGAAUGCACAUGGGUAUAGGUAUCGAAUUCUUUGUAACCAAAACACAGCACUUAACGUUCUGAAAAGAAUCUGAUAGACAACUAAACUAAUUGCGUAACCACACUCCUGAAUAGAAGAUUUAGGCACAGUUGCGUUGCUUGUUCUCUAAACGCUAGCUAUACAAUAGAAAAGAAUGGAAGAUUAAGGCACAGAGCACAGUUCCGUUGCCACAGUUCCGCUCCCGUUAGCUAGUUUCUUUAGCGCGUUAGGUUAGAGAGUUUCGAGUUACUUCAUCGGCAUUAGCGAGUUGACCUGACAGCGAUAGAUUCAAUAACAUUCUGAACUCCACUUCAAGUAGACUUUCAUCCUAUAAAUAUCGGACGGAAUUCUCAAUAAAGCUAGUGUCGGUGCUAGUGUUGCAGUAAUCAAAUCCGAGGGAAAGCUAGAAAGGUAUAAAGCAGGAUCUCCAUCUGUUCCAUUUCUAUUUCGAGUUGGCAAUCCUCUAGACUCCAUUCAGGUUUUCGGCUUACGGGAGUUCUGAGUUGAUUUCACUCGUUCUGCCAGAGUCGAAGAGAGAUAGGAACUCUCAGAUGCUUUACCGCCGCCCUAAGAGAAAUGAUGGCAGAGAGCGGACCCUCGUAAGUUCUGUGACAUAAAGAAGAAAAGGAAGCACCUCCUUUCUUUGCCUAUUGAAGCGUGGCAGCCAUCCAUCACCAUAUUAGUAAGAUAAGUAGAAUUACUUCUCUCAGAAGGAGAGGUAGAAUUGUAAAUAGGAGAUCCGGAGACCCAUCCUGAGAUUGGGACCGGCACUUCCAUUCGUUCUUGAUCCGGGUAAGGGGACGCCUUGGAGCAAAAAAAGGAUUAUUCUAUUGGAUCGAUAGCUGUAGGUUGAAGGGAGAUGCAUUCAAGAUAUAGUUUGAUUACUCCCUUCCCGAAAGAAAGAGCUAAACUUAGGGCGCUUGGUGCGUCUAAGGAUCGUAUAGGCGAAAAUGGCAGUCAACUGCGGCUUCUCUCAAGGUCUGAGUUCACAACUGGCUGUGGGAGUCGGAGAGAACCUGAUGCAAGCACGAGCAGGACCCUUCUAGAGAAAAGGAUAUACCCCAUAGGUCCAUUGCACAACAUAGCAACUCACGAGCAUAGUAAUCAAAUGCAAAAUGAGCUCGCCUCACUAACUCCGUGAAGCUAGCCCUCCUUCUCGCGCCCCCGUUUGCUGGAAGCGAUCCAUCUCUUCUCUUCUCCUUUAAAGCUAUUUGUACUAAACAGACACCUUUUAGAGUUUCAAGCUAUUUAUACUAAACAGACCUUUGAGAGCCAGGAGAAAGAUCCGAAUACGGAAUACCAAAACUCGAGGAAGAGGCCAAGGUUGCUUACGGGGAAGGGAAUCAUCAAGUCAAUUGUGGUGCCCCCCCGAUAGAAGAUUCGAUGAUAGUAAGGGUUUACUUCGGCUAAGGGUUAAGGUAAAUAAGAAAGGGCCAAGCUACUACUAGAGCAAGAAAGAAACUCCAUUCUUCGGUAGGGGUGGGCAAGGUCAGAAAGGUCGAUAGCUCUAAGUCUGCUCGGUAUUCCACUCCUCUCUGCUAACUUCAUUCUACUUAUCUACUUACCUAUGGCAACUGGCAACCAAUGAAUUCUUUCCUUGCCAACCGAAACUCUCACUGCGGACUGCUUUCCUGGCACUGCAUCUGAACCUUCACUUACUUCCCCAGUGAUUCAUUCUUUCUUUUUGGUUGGGGCACUAGGGUGAGUUACCGGAUUCUAUCAUGCCUAGUGAGGCUCCAAAAAACAUCUAUUGUAAUAAAAAGAGUGGAGCGGCCCUGCCGCGCAACGUUAGUAGUUGCUUGGCCUAUUAUUAUUGCUACCGCACAACGCGAGCACAUGUAUUGUAAUAACUUCGUUAUGGCUAUCACUUGGCUGACGCACAACAUUAGCAGUUGUUUGUCCCGUUGCUUGGUGCGUAACAUUAGUAGUUACUUGGCCCUCUUAUUCUUAAUAGGGUGAGUAGUGCGCCUAUUCGUUCUUAAGGAAGCUGGCAGGCGGGUCUGGUCUUCAAGUGAAGGUGUUUACUCUAAUUCCAGAGAGUUUGGAGCUGUACCCGGAUACUGAGAUGGAGAAGUUGGAGAGCCGGAUACGAAGAUAGAUAAGGAGUCUUUAUCUGUAGAUACGGAGAUGGAUAAGGAGUCUUUCUCUUUAGUGGGAGAUGGAUAAGAUACUGUUUCAAGAAAGGAGUAGAGAUCAGAAACUUGAGGAUCUGAGGCAGAAAGAGUGGAAUAAGGAUCUGGCUCUGUCAACAAAUACUUCCUCUCUUCUGGCUCUUUGAACUCAAACUCACUAUACAGGAGUAAGCCCGAAGUCCGUUACUAGUUAUGAAGUCAGUUAGUAGUAGUUAUGGAGUCCAGUGUACUAUAGUUAUGGGCAAGUCCCGUGUUUGGCCUCAGGGAAAGUAGUCUCAUUCUUUGCUUUGGUCAGCGAGCCCAGCCCUAUCGUUAACAGGAACCAGAGGCGGAGGCUAAGAAAAGAAGACAGAAACUGCCAAGACGACAAGAAACUAUGCCAUGUUUUAUAGGCUUGAAAUGCAUUCUUUCUCAUCUCCUUCUGUUUGAUAGAUAUAGAUAUAAAAGUAAGUCAGUGAUUUUCUUCCCUUUAUUUCUAAGCCAGCUUUCUUUCUAUUUAAGCCAAGCUACAACUAUUGAACUCACUCCUACUUAUACGAGAAUACAAAUCCUAUACUUAUACUAAUACUACUAUUUGGGGAUUUCACUACCCCUAAGAGAUUCCUACUACUUGUGUGUUGCCUUAGCCUUCGACUCUACCCUCUUUCGGUUAACCCUUAUUGUCUCCCCUGCCCAACUUUCCUCUGGCUACAAAUGUUGAUCAAGAGCACUUAGGUUGGUUCCUCGAUUCUUCACCCCCGGGCUGGCUAUCCGACCUAAACUCUCAAAUAAGAAAUAGAUUGCCUAGGAACGUUUCCUUGUGAACGAGUGAGUCUUAUCUUGACUAAAUUCAUUCUUUCUCUUAUGAAACUCCGAUAUCCUAGACCUCUGGCUCAUCUACCUGAGUCAACUAAUACUAACAGUGGAAUCGAACCUAGCAGAAGACUAACAAAGGGAAUACAUAUGUUAUAUCGGGAGUGGCUGGUCUACUAUUAGCAUUGGAGUUCCCGACCACUUCUAUUAUUAUUAUUAGAGUUAGGGUUAUACCACUAUAAAGUACAGGUUAUACCACGAGAACGUCAUUCUCAUUUUGCAGUUACAACAGCUCCAUCUAAGGCUGCCGCUACACUCUUUUGGUGCCGCUACGCUCUUUUGGGCCGGGGGACAACGGGAGAACCAACAUCAAUUCUUCGGGAGCAACUUAGGACUCCGUGGGUCUUGCUUGAUCUUCGGGGCCCGAAAACAACUCAACAGAAGUAGCCAUCGCAGCGGAAGCUGCCCUCGCUUCAAAGCAAGUAGAUAAUAGGAGUAGGUCUAGGAGCACUAGCAACAAGAAUAGGAGUAGGACAACAACCCCAACCUAGGCAUCAUUAUCAGAAUUGAGAUAUGCUCCAGCGCACGGAGAUUAAGAAGAAGUAGGCGCCCCGACGAAUUAAGCGAAAUAGUCCUCGCCCGAAGCCAGCCCUCCAAGCUGACAUCGCUUACUUGCAUUCCGUAGCUCCUUUACUUUAAUGCACCUUAGCCCGGCACUGCUUUAUCUAAUUCUGCAAUUAUGACUUUAGAGUUACGUUGCGCUAUCACUUAUUUACCGUAGGAGCUAGAAUCUGGAUAUACCCGGUGUUGCUUGCUUCCUCUAAGAACAAGUUGAGGCAGCCGAACUCUAUACACAUGGUCUCUGACUUUCUUCCUACUUGCCUACUUCCACUAAACCUUGCUUUAAAGCCGACACUACUUAUUUGUAUUCUUGCUUUGACUCUUGCUUUACUACCCCUUAGCCUUACGCUCUUAACUCUCAUUCUUAUAUUGCUUUGCUCUAGGCAUAAGAAGAACUAGAAGCUCCAUUAGCGGUAUGACAUGACGCACUACCUGAUAUACUCGAACUCGGGAAUCAAACUCGACAUAAGGACUGAACCAAAGAAAGGAAGGAGACUAAUACAAGUAUAUAGAACCACUCAUUUUAUUCAUCGAGGCACGGGCAACUGAGCGAGGGGCCGGUAGCUAAGGACUUAAGGUAAAGAGGAGCAGCUUUGAGGUAGGUGGUUGAUUUCCCUGCCUGUAAAGUGAAUCUUGUUGGACUGAGUCCAAUUCUUAUUAGCAAUAGUAUAAGGUUGAUUAUCAUUAGUUCAAGUUUAGGCCAGUAAAGCAAAGAUCGGGAUCAGUGGUUGGAGAGCGCGAGGCACUGUGUCAAGUAUGUUUGUAACCAGUUGCAUUAUGAGAAGUAGCAGCCGAUCCCCUAGUUAUUAGUCAAGAUAUUGGUAGCCCAGGUUCGGUUCUUAGAGUGACUCGUAGACAUUCACUUUUCCUGGGAGUUGGAAAAGAAAGAGUUGGCGGGUCUCAGGCUCAUAAUAUCUUACGAGCAAGGUAUACUGAUGACUUAUCUCAAAGAGUGAGAGUCAAGUAUAGUGGAAUAAUAGAAUAUAUUGGCAGUAAGGCGAUAACCCUGCAAUCAAGGGCGCAACAAAAGAGCAUAGGUAUUUCAGUUUCAGAGGUAGUCCUUUCUUCAUCGUUGCUUUGAUGCCCUAUCCCGACUAAAUGAAUUCCCACAAAGGUUCUAAUUGAACAAGUAAGUAUAAGAUAAUUGACUAAGUAAGUAUUUUCAUAAGAUAAGUGACUCAGUAAGUAUUCGAAAUAGUAUAAGAUAAGAAAGUCAGGAGUCAGGGGUGAGUUUACUUGAAUGAAGUCAGGAGUCAGGGGUGAGUUUACUUGAAUGAAAGCAGUCAGCAUAAGAAGGAUUAGAAGCUGGAUCCGUAUCUGCAGCAGCAAACUCGAAUUUCAGGAUUUCCCUUACUACGAGAUAAUUACCAUAUUGUUCUGCUGGAGCUCGCUGUAGCUACUAGUCUAGGGGAUAGGUGUGAGUGCGAGUGCCCACUACACGCUAAAGAAUGAAGUCAGGGUUGAAAGCUUUUUAUUGUAUAAAGUUCCGCCAAGUAAACAAGCAGACUAGUAAGUCAGUAUUAGAAUAAGCCAAGAGGAUACAGGCCAUAAUACAUAACUUGCUAGCGAGGUACCUGGAAGAAAUAAGGGACAUAAUAAAUAAUUGCCAGCACAUUCUAAGAAAUAGUAUAAUAGAAAUAAGGCCAUAAUAAACAAUUGCUCACGCAUCUAGUAUAAGGCAAGUAAGUAAGUAAGUAUAAGACUCAAAGAGACAGGGCCCAGCAACUAACUACUAGUUUCAUCCCGAGUUCAAUCUGUAGCAACCACUAGGUAGGUCAGGGAAUGGAAUAUCUCUAAACUUCCAAGCUACGUAUACAAAGGCAAAGAGCGGUCACUAAACUACUUGUCCAAAAAGCAACUACUAAACGGAUUCUCGAACAACAGCAUCGAUUCGGCUUGCAACCUACUUUAGCCUGUUCCUUGAUACCGCGCUGCUUCUAUAUACUAAACCACUUCUUUACAUACUUUCAUAACAACUUGCGUGUACGACGGCUUAUUCUUAUUGACUAGACCGAGCUAGCAAACUCUAGCUUCAAAUAGGAGCACUCCAUUCUAGUAAGAAAGCAAACCAGCAAAUUUCUAUAUUGUGAGUAAACAGUGAAGAGCCAGCAGUCAUAGACAAAGGCAGCAAGGAAGAGAAGAGCACAGCACCACGUUUACAACCCGGAGACAAAGUAAGCAAGCAUAGAGUCAAAUUGGCUUUCAGCACCUUCUUAUAGAAUAGAUACAACUCAAAGAAUAAACAAACGGGUAGCUAGAUGAAAAAACAGUAUUAGCUGGCAAGGUCGACAUAUUUACACCCCUCCACUCGAAAGUUAUUAUGGAAUUAUUCGAAGUAAGCUAACGGAGCUACGCCUUGAUACCGCACUGCUUAACUGCAGAAAAUCAUUGAAACAGGAACAGGCAAUUAAGAAGCUUCUCGCAUUAACCUAGCAGUAGGGCAGUCAAGGAAAACAGUCAAAUCACCACUACCGAGAGAGUCUUUCUGAAACUCCACUCGAUAAGCUAAGGCACUUUGGCGAACUCAACUCAACCUCCGCUGUAUAGAUUCCAAUUCUGUCUUCUCUUUCCAUAGGAGAAAAGUGUACUUUCAAAGCUUCUUCUGCUAACUAACCCAUGAGACUAUCGAGGUACCUAACCUCUUUAUAUCUGUCUUUUCUUUUGCUUCCAGACUCACUACCACUUAUCUUAUUGCUGGCUCUUUUGCUUCCAGACUCACUACCACUUAUCUUAUUGCAGUGAAUAUGCACAUCGUAUGAUAUAAGUAAGUUACUUCCCUGCUGACACACCUAUGACUCUCGGUGCACGUGCUGCUUCAAAUCUAACAACCUAACGGACCCGAGAAGUAAGCUUACGCGAGUUAAUGUUGAGUUGCUUGUUGAAUGGAAUCUAUCUCUCCUAAUGUAGAAUGGAGUAAACAAACUUAAUAAGAGUAUUUGAUAGUGCACCUUAUAAGAUAUAAUUGAUUAACCUAGCACACUACCACUUCUUUGCUAGUUCCCUUGCUUUGAAUGUGAAAAAGAAGGAAUUGGACUUCACUCCUAGCACGCACGCACCCCGAGUUGCCUUCUUUCCCUUCUUUCGCACCACUCAUUAAAGCGGAGCACGAUAAGCCUUAGCACCCGGGGGAAACCAAUUCAAUUCAAUCUAAUUCACCUCAUCAUACAAUUGAGUAACAACACUACUGACUGCAACAAGCAAAAGAAACUCUGUUAGCGGGAUCGUAUAGAAACUGACAGGUAAUAUUCCGUUUUCUAUACUUUUAUAAACUCCUUUAGCUUAGCUUGAAAUAUGAAGUUGUCAAGGAAAACAAACAGUCAAAUCAGGUAAUUUCAUCUUACCUUUCCACACCAGAGGAUAGGUCAAUACCUGAGGAUAGCCUUGAAUAGCAGCUUACUUGAGAACUGACUGAUCCAGCGGAUUCUCUUUCCUCCCGGGCCUACCUCUGUUGGAGAGUCAACCGGUAUUCUAUAUUUGUUGCACUUAAUCAUUGGGCUGGGUGUUAGAGAUGCAAAUGGUAUAUAUAAGGAUAUAGAAGGGCAAGUCUCUUUCUGUUCUUGAGCAAGUAAAGAAGCUAGUUCAAAGGCAAAGGAUGCCCCUUAUAGUACUAGAUCAAGAAAGAAUGGAAUAGAAUUAUUUGACAGAGGGGAGCCAGUAGUUGGCGAUAGGGUAGUUGACUUCCUUCAAUUGACUAGUUGAAGACCUGAUUGAUAGUAGCUAGUGGAAUGAUUUGCCUACGGAGUUCAAUUCAGUAUUAGUAGCAAUAGGUGUAUACGAGUAGUCCAGAUCGAUACCUCUUCUUUCUAUCUUACCUACUUGUGAGUGCAAUUCCUUAUCUGUUGCCAGCAGGGUUCAAUGAUUUGUUCUUACAGUUUAGAGGCAAGGUAAGCAGUUCCGUCAGAAGGAGAGGUCGGGGAAGACUAAGUGGAGAUAGGUUCUUGGCAGAUAAGUUAUUGGCGAUUGACUGUAUACGAGAUCUGAAGCCAAAGAAGAAGAUGGAAAGUAGAGUGAGACUAGUUGUAGCUUGUCUUAACGCAAAGUGGGUGUUUCACCUAUCCCUAAUAGGUGUGAGUCAUGUACAAGUCCUGUGUUCCUAGCGUGUUGCGCGUUAGCGAGUUCUGCUCAAACAAAGAGACGAAAUCCUUUGUUGACUUCAUACAGUGCUGUUUUCUAGGGCAAGAAGGUAGUAAGGGAAAGAAGAAAGUCAAGGUUGGUUGGUACAGGAAUAUCAGAUGUUUCCGCUUCAUAGCUUAAGUCUGCAGCAAGUGGUUUUUCAAGUGUUGAGUCAGGAGAGGAAUAGGGGUCUUCAGCGGGAAGGGCAAAGCUUAGUAGUUAGCUAAGGAGCCCCCCGGUCGGGGCAGAAGAUGUUGUAGCGGUAGGGAAGGGGGAGUUGGUUGGCCCAGUGCAACUAAUACAAAAGUGAGGCCAGUAGGCUCAGGAAUGGAUUUUAGCACAGAAGUAAGUUAUUCGGAUUGCUUAGUCUCUCCAUAAGAACUAUCCAGAAGUCAAACAUGCAUUUCUUAUCUUGUACUGAAGUGACAACAUUAGCUACAUCUUUCGAUCGGUGAGGAAAACAGUAAUGGAAUCCUUUGUCUCGAGCACCCGCAAUAGAAUAAGAUAGUCAAGACACUGCCAUUAACUUAAGGGCUGCUUCUUCGGGAGCUCCAUUCUAAUCUUUCUCAUCUUCUUUAUAAAUGAGAACUGAUGAAACAAGAACCAUUAACUUAAGCGCUAGACUACUAGACUUAACGAGCACUAUAAGUUAUUCUCAGCCCCGACCCCUACACCGACUUGCGCACUGCAUCUAGACCGACAACAAAGGGAAAGCUAAUCAAUCACCUAUCUUUAGCCACCGAGUCUGGGCCCGCUCUUUACUACAGAUACGACUUCCCCACUUGCUUACUCAGUUUCAUUCUUAGUUUACAGUGACUGCGCUAGCAAGUUCUGUAUUCUGGCCAGAUGAAUAUCUUAUACUAUUACUAUCAAUGCGGUACCCUUAUACCGAACCCACCUAUCCUCGGGCUACAAAUCAUGGAUUCUUUCUUUCCUUAAUAAGAAUAGAGUUGACUUAUGUCUUUCAAACCUAGUGGUGCUAGUACUUUUUCUCUCGUAGCCAACACUGUAAACUCUCCUUUCUGAACCUCAGUAGAGUUAUUACCAAGUCUAGUGUUUUAGGGCAUCAAAGGCAGUACCAUAUCCAGCUUCUUGUUGACAGCCCCUUUAAGUAGUGGUCCAGUAAUUCUAAGUAGAACUUCCCGAUCUAGCACAUUCAGGGAUUGUAACGCGAAUGGAUACUAUACUCUAGAACAAAGGACUUGCUCAUAAAAGGACUUCCACUCAAAAGGCAGAAUGAAACUCACCAGAGAAAGUACCAAUUACCUUAAGGAUAAUCGAUACCUAAACUCAUAGACGAGCCGCAGCAAAGGCCUUACUAUGGUACAGGUAGAUCAGCAACAGCAAUUAGUUAAGUCUCAAGGAAAGGACUCUAAAGGUUGCCAGCUUUCAUUCAGUAAAGGGAGACUAAGCGGUCUUCUGAAACUACACUUUCUACUUUGCCUCGAACUACACUUUCAGAUUACCCGCUUGCAGCUUCAGAUCCUGCUUCCAAUCUAGUUUCUCAUCCAGCUUUAUAUCUGUCUUCUGUUGGGCCUGUGCCUGGCAAUACUGUUCGAAUAGAACCUAGCUCAUGAUUCUUUUUCUUACCUAAGCCAACAACUGUAAUGGAACUUGCGCCUUGUCAAACUCGUGAUUGAACUUGAAAACGCUGAAGCUCUUGCAGACAAUACCCGAACUGAACUUUCCUAUGGCAGCUAACAGACUUGAAACAGAAUGUUCGGAAAGGGGAAGUUAAGAGCAGAGCAAAGAUUUGAUCCAGCAGUAGAUUCAGCAUCAGCAGCUGCUAUUGGGUAAUCCUAAAGUAGAGAGAGACUAAUCCGACUAAUACAAAGAAUAAGGGAUGUCGACCGAAGCGAAGACAGAGUUGCUGGACCACAUAGUCAGAGAAGAAUUCGAAUAUCAGAAUAGAAUAAUUGGUUCCAAAGCAAGAGUCAAUGAGUAGGGUGGUUCCUCUAUUUAUACGAGCAAGAGAGUUGGGCGGUUCCUCUAUUGAUACAGGCAAGGAGCCUAUGCUAUUGAUACAGGCAAUAUAGGUAAUAUAGUCGUAGUGGGGUAGUUUUUCUAUUUCGAUUUAUAUAAGCAAGAGCGCUACCUAUGCUAUUGAUACAACAUAUGGUAGGGUAGUGGACUGACUUGUGGAAUUCUUUCCUCUCCUAUGGCUCUCAUCUCAUCUCACUCAGGCUCAUCCACCGGGGAGUAAACUCAUACUUAUUUUCUUUCUAUUUCCACUGGAACCCUCUUUUCCUUGGUUGCUCACCUCGACUCUGGCUUCUCAAACUUCAUUCUUAUCUUAGUGGGUGUAAUAGGCGUCUACCGGUAAAUAAGGGUAGUUAAGAAGAGUUGGUUUCCAGACCCUGAAACUAGUAUACGAGUAGUUAAGAGCGAGUCCUGUUCAUGAAGGUAUAAAACUACAGAUCUCCAGUCUUGUAUAGGUGUGGGAAGGGCCAAGCAUAUACUAGACAAGUGGAACUCCUAAUUAUGGUACCAGUGUAGUGUACAAAUUGUGGUAAGUAAACUCUAUUCUUAAAGGAAGGAGUUAAGGAAACUACAACUAAUGGGGAAAGAAUGAAUUACUGCCCUUAUUUACAGCAACUCCGAUAUGUCGACCUCCGGAACUAAUUAAUACGCUAAACUUCUUGCCCCGCUCUAGCUCAUAGUAUAGUUACCGUAGCCUCUUUUCCAGUGUUACUUCUUUGCUAAAUCCUCUUGUCCGCGUGUCUGCUCCUUUCCUGUUUCCUGGUACUGCUUACAGCCUUCCUUCAAAUUCCAUAAAUCAUUCAACUAAAGGGUACGGGUACUACUAGAAUUAAUGUUUCUCAUACAAAUACCGGUCUUCUACCCGACGAGGGCCAUUCUACUGCUAGACCUGCCCGUUAAACCCUUACUUAUUCUUACUGGUUCCCUUGAAAGCUUUGGAGAGAAAAACAGGUCUACUUGCCCGCCUUAGAAAGGAUACUAAUACUGUAUACUUCGGAAGAUUUUGCAUAGUGUUUUUCCCUUUGCCAGAGAAAGAUACGUAGUUGUUUGUCGACUUGCCCUGUUGCUUGGCGCGUGGAAUGAAUCCCUUUCUGAAUCCUAUCCACCUUGUUGAAUCAGGAGAGGCAGGCUAACGACGGGAACCAAGGGAUGGAUUGGGGAAUGAGAAACUGUAGUUUGAGUUCAAAGGCAAGAUAUAGGUCUGUUCUGUUAUGUUAGGUUUAGAGUGAGUAACGCCCGCCAGGCUAAUAGCUUUUAGUCGCAUUCUUGUUAUCGUUAGUUCAAUCUGCUAGUUAGUAGCGAGAGUCUAAUUGGAUAGUAGUUCAUUCCUAGUUUCAAGUUCAAGUCUCAUUGGCAGUAGUAGGAUCGCUACUUUAUGAGCUUAAUGUGAAGUCAGUGGUAGCAGCCUAUAUGUAGUAGUUGACUCCCGAGUGACGAAUGCCAGUAUUAUAAGUAGGAGAGGUGGGCUAGGGAAGAACGGAGUUGAUUCUGUAACUACCGGGGCUCAGUCUCGCUGGCACUGGGUUAAGCUUUGGAUGCACUGAUUUAAGCCUUGGAUUCGUUGUUAUUGGUUUGGUUCUGUGAUGAGUUGGUUUCAGGCUAGUUGGGGCAGUAGUUAAGCCUUGGAAGCACUGCUUUGAUUCCUUGUAUCGGUGGUUGCAUUCUGAUUCUUAUACUUACUGGUUGAUUUCUCACUUUCUCCUCCGCAUGCCGAUACUGUUACUACAAGGAAAAGAGGGUUCCCUUGGCCCUGUUUCAGCCCUAGUGUCUUGGCCAUUUCUGUUCUUUUCUUCCUUUUAUUCUACCCUAAAAGAUGGAUCGUAGUGAUGCGGUAAAUAAGAGACCCAUAAGUCCUAUCAUCCUUACCCAUAAGUCCUAUCAUCCUAUAGAAAGAGAAAGCACGACAACAAAAACAUAGGCCAAGCAACGACUAGUAGCAUUAGGUUCAUACCGACCCGACUUCUUCAACACCCGGUUCCUGAGGUCAAUUCUGAUCGGUACUGCUUUCAUUCUUUCACUCCAACUGGCAACUACUCAUGUAUAGCGUUAGCCCGGUGAGCUUAGGUCAAUUCUGUAUACGUGGAGACAGGGCUUAGGCUUCUACUUACUAUAUGAAUUCUUUGACUAAUGAGUCUACUUACUAUAUGAAUUCUUUGACUAAUGAGUUUGAUUCCGAGUCUACCCGGUUGCAUUCUGACUAGCUCCUACGAACCACUAGACCAGCUGGACAUAGCAUCAGAAAUGAGAAUAAGGUUCCCACUAGCUCCACCAACUUACUAAAAGGGCCUAUACUAUUAGUUGUGACUUGGCCCCUGACUUGAUCAUUGGAGAAUGAAUAUCUGAGUGUUAGGAUCGGAGUGGGAAGAGCUCGUUUACUGGUUGAAGGCUUGCACUCCUUAGUUUGAUUCUGAGGUAAGCUUAGUUGGAUUCUAUAGCUACCAGUUCCAUGCCACUAACAUCUGGUUGAAGUCUGAGUACCUAGAGGUCUCCUCCGAGCCUACCCGGUUGAAGUCUUUGAUGCACAGGUUUCAGGCUUGUUAGUGAAGUCUUACUAGCACUGAUUUAAGUCUGGUUCCUCCCGAUACUGUUCCAUUCUUCCAUUCCUUAUUCCUAGCCGUGGUAGUCCAUUCUUACACUCUCUUGUUGAAGUCUUGGAAGCAGUCAUCCUAUAUAAGGAUAAUCUAUCAUUUAGUAAGGGUUUCUCUACUGUGUGUCUACUUAGUGGGUGUAGUGGAAAUCCAAGUAGUCUUUCUCUAGAAUGAAGUAAUUAUGCCAGUGUUAAGUCGACUCCCCACUCCUGAAAUGCUGUAUUCCGGGGGUUGAUACCAUAAUUAUUCCCAUCCCUGAAAUGAAGUAUGUAGGGUUUGAUACCCGAAUUCUUCCUACUUCUGUUCGAUUUCUAUCUUCAUUAUUCCCAUUCCUGUUCGAUAGCCUGUUCGAUAGGUUGAUACCAGAAUGAUUCCCACUCCUUCCAUUCCGUAUGUAGGGGUCGAUACCACUCCUGAAAUGAAGUAUUCCGGGUUGAUACCUUAGAACUGAAAUGGAUUCAAUUCAAUAGCUUUUCUCUAUCCUAAGCCCUCUUCUCUUGAUUGAAAAAAGGAGGAAAAUUCCCUUUUUGGUUGCAGAUGUCUCUGUCGGGAUUCACUUACCAGAGAACUCCUGCCGCGCAACGUUAGUAGUUGCUUGCCCGGGUUUCGCUUACUAUUUAGGAGUGAAAUGUUCAAAACAGGGUGUCGGGAUUCACUUACUUUUUUGUCGUGGUUCGCUUACCUUUUUAAUGAGUAAUCUUCUGGUUUUUUUAUGAUUUCUAAUUGAUCGUUUUCCAAGGAACUACUAAUGUGUAGCGGCAGUUCGGAGAUAGAUUUGUUCUAUGCUUAACACAAGCACCCGAGCCCACUUCAGUACUUAUAGCUCCCGCUCCUUAAGCUAGUGUUCGGCUACUAGACCUCUCCUCUUGCUCAUCUCUUCUAACUGACCUAGCCCAGUAACAGACUGAGGGGAAUUAAUACCAAUACCAGUAGCUCACCAACCUGUUCCAUUCUUAGUUUAGUUAGCUCUAUUCUCGGCCUUGGUGGUACUGAUUUGAUUCUUGUCUGAGUGACUUAGGGCUCCUUUUCAUUCUUCCUUUCCUACUUUCUUGUUGAAGACCUAGUUUCAUAAGUUCACCUAUAUAAGAAGAGAGAUUUGGAUAGUGCUUUUUGCUAAUGUUUGUGUACUGAGUUUGUAUAUGAUAAAGAUGAGUAGUCUUUCAGUGAAUUCAGUGAUUCUUAAGGUGUUCAGUAAACUCUCUUUCCAUUCUUAUUGUCUUCAACUUACAAUAAGGGCCCGACCUCAGUUAGAGAUUACUUUACUAGCUGCCUCGCCUCUGGUAAAGCACCGAACCAGCCUAUCCUCUUGCAACUAGCUAAUCUAUUACCUAUCCCUCUGAUCUUGCUCUUGAAACUAACCAUACUCUGGCAACAACUACUGAUGAAACCGGACCACCACUAAUAAGAAUUCCACUCCUCCUCUCUGGCUUCGAUACCUCUGUAAACUAACCACUCCAUUCCUUAGUAUAGGACCGAUAUCUCUUGCUCCAAAGAAGCUCUUAACUACUCUACAACUACAGGCUCGGCUCACCUCUUAGUUGCAUUCUUUUACUCAUGGGUUUAACUCUAACUCCUCGUGUUACUGUCUCAUUCUGUGACUACUCAGUGGUAUUCCUUUCUUAGUACUAUAGCUGCUACUAAAAGACUGACUUCAACAACUACCCACAAAAUAAGUAAACAAGAUCUGUGCAGGAACCAGAAAGUAAGUAAACAAGAUCAGUGCAGUUCACCCCCGGUAUUUUGGAUAGCUUCGUGGGUGGUUGUCUCUUCUACUUACUUGUUUUCUUCCUUGACUCUAUUAAUUAGUAUAGUCUCCGCUUGCCUCAGUUGCUUAGGAGGAUAUAAAGAUGUUAGGUUCAAAUGAGCUAUUUCAACACUGUAGUCCAGGUAGUCCUGUGAGAGUGAGAGUUGCACAGACCUGAGAAGGAUAUUAAUAAGAAACAGGAACCAGCAAUAAUGGGCUAAAUAAGGACUCCCGCCAAGCUUAGACUAGUGUGUAGCGGCAGUCCCUUCUGUUUUCUUAUAUGAAAUUAGACUAUGUUUUCCCUACUAUGUCUGUACUGAAUAGAUACAUAAGAAAUUGUACGACUUUUCUUGAUUAUUUGUGAUUUGAUAAAUUGAUUCAUUUGAUUCCAAGUCAGUAAACUACCCGACCCGGCCUAUCUUUCUGAUCCUGGCUCAGAUCCAGCUACUGUUCCUGUUCGAUAGUUUUCUACCAGAAUUCUUAUCCUCUGCUUUCUACCGGAAUUCUUAUCCUCUGUUUUAUACCUUCCCUUCCAAUGAAACUAGUCAGUAAAGGAAUGUAACAAAAGCACUCCUGGCUCGGCUCGCGUUCCAUUCUGUAAUUCCAAUAGUUAGUACUAGAUGCGGAGAAUAGAUACCCUUAUUACUAGACAAACUACCCGAGCCUCAAACAAAGCCGAUACUUCUCUCUCCUCUUGCUACAACUCCCUAGUAAUUCACUCCUCUUGCUACUACUCCCUAGUCAUUAACUCCUCUGUCAUUCACUCCCCCGUUUAAGCCUUAGAUGCACUGGUUUGAUUCUUGUAUCUCGGGGGCAGUAGUCAAUUGUUGUUAUCGUUGGUCCAAUCCCCAGUCUCGAGUUAAAGCUAGGUCAGUGCCAGGUUGAAAGUCAAGAGUAGGUUUUAUGCCUAGGAUCUCGUAUCACCAGACAAGCCGACAAGACACGUAUAAUGUUUAUUACACGUAUAGAAAGUUUUCAGUAACCAAACACUAUUACUUUGAGCUACAUCCAGCCCACUAGUUGUUUGAUUAAUGACACCAGCUGCCCUUCUAUGAUUAGAUUAGAGCCCAGAAAAAGAAUUCUUGAUUGAAACAAUGAGCCUGCCAUUACAAAAACGGAGACUUGCUUUACUGUUUCCCAGACCCGGAAACCGCCGCCACUAAGAAUUGAGCCACUAACCGAUAAGAAGAAAACCAUCAAAUAGGGAUUUGACUCAUCAGUAGCAUAAUCAAACAUGUCAUAAGGUAUUCAACUUAUAGUAGUAGUAUCGGGAUUGUAUCGGGAUAAGGCUAAUAAGUAGGCAUCAAACUCAUAAGUAGGCAUUUUACUCAGUAGCCUAAGAAGAAACCGAAGAAGUAAUAAUGAAGUAGCGAAUACGCAAAUUAAGCUAACAAUAAAAGGUAGUAAAUAAAGAAUGCAGCUGCUCUCCACAACUACUGCUUUUAAUAACCCACCUAGGAAUAAAGAAGAAAACUAGUGCUGCUAACAAGGACUAAACUCUAACCUAUGAAUUGAACUCACACCUAGGAAUAAGUCAUUUCAGAAGUUCACUCAAAAGGGAGGAAGGAAGAAGUCCCCUAUUAAUUCAGAAUUGAUGCUUACCAUACUAGGGCUAACAAAGCGACUAACACGACUUCAACUAUCAACUAAUGAGCAAAAGACUAAAACACAUGAAACCGGGAUUCACCAACUACAGAUGAAACUAGGGAUUCAACCAGAACAGGAACAGGAGAAGGAUCGGCUCUGUUAACUAUGAACUGAUUUCGCCUCUCUCUCCUCUUGCUACUGACACAAGGGAAAGGGACUGCCGCGUAACACGAAAACAUAGAAAGUAAGAGAACAAACAAAACAACGGUUUAUGUUGUUUUUCUUAUUGUAGUUGUGCUCGAGUUACUUGGCCGGUAUUCAACAACAAUUAGACUUCCACCUAUAUGCUCUUUUGAAACAGGACCACUCUACUACUGGUAUUCAACUCUUCCUCGACCUGGCACUGGUGAUUCUCUUUCUGACCUUGCUUCUAGUAAACCAACUUCCCCGGCUUCCUCUCUUGUUGGUAACUCCACUUCUUGUCCCGAGCCCUGGUGCAUUGAUGGACCACUCAUUAAUUAGAUCUUUUUAUAGGAUUCCAUUUAUGAUUCAACUUGACCAGAAGGAAAGUCCACUCUUAUGAAGCUAGCUCGCACCCCGCCGAGUCACUACUACAGUUUGAUACCAGAAUUAGGCUCAUCCCUCUCCCUCUCUCUACCGACGUCAAAAGCAAAUAACGGAACAAGACUUUCACCUUCAUUGCCCGGACUGCCGCGUCACUCGCAACCCCAAUAGGCUAAACUCAGUACUUACAGCAAUUGACUUAAGGGCAAGAGCAGGUACCUCGCCUCUACUCUGUCAACAAAUACUGGCUCAGUCACUCAACCAAUGCUAUGAACAAGUCUAGCUUCUGUACUUUCUGACUGGAACAGGGCAUUCUCCUUCUUACCUUCCCGACCCGACCUCUACUGUUACUACGGAAAAGAAUGGAAUUGCCGACCUAGACUCUGUAAACAAAUACUUAUUGAAACAAGCAAGCCCAUAAGUUACAGGGGAGCUACACUCAGAAUUCCACUAGUAAGUAAAAGAGACUAGCUACUACUACUGAUUCCACUACUCGUAUACUAGUUGGGGCAAUCACUUAACUUGAAACUGAACCUCGCCCUGGAACUGGCAAUUCUCCAGUGGUCACUACCCUAACAAGCAAGUAAGUCAACCUGCCUACCCAUGCCUAUGAAGUUUAAGUGCAGAACCAACUAUCAACUACUAUUGGAAACAACUACCAUUGAAGUCACAGUAUAAAGCCCCUUCCGCUCACUACCGCUAUAAAGACAGGACUCGAAGUUAAGUCCGUAAGGAUAGAGAGGGUGCGGAAUCUCUUGGGGGGCGAGUGGAGUCUAGUAUAGUAGUACUUAAUUGUCUAGGAAAGUUUCACUAAAGAACCAUAGGUAUAAGAGAAUGGAAUUGACUACUAACAAGAAUGGAAUUGCCUACUAUGGCGCUAUACAAGAGUGUACCCUAGUAUAAGAACGAGUUGACCCUUACCCUAGUAUAAGAACGAACCUAGUAUAAGAACGAGUUGACCCUUACCCUAGUAUAAGAACGAACGAGUGUACCCUAAGUAGAAGAACCAAUUAUUUGAACGGGUUGUCCAUAAGGAGUCACCCUUUAGGAGAUGCACACUAGCGCCUUUAAGUAGUUACUGUAACUAAACUCAUUCAUAUACUUACUUGUCUUAUACUAUCUUAUACUUACUUGUCUUAGUAGUCCCCUAUUCUUAUACUUCUUUCACUAGAUCGUACCUUAUUUCUAUAUUCCUUAGCAGUUAUCAAAGUUUGAAGUGACUCUUCGCCUUAGCUCCUUUAGCCCACGAAGACAGGACUUGGCGCUUUGCGUUUGAGUACUCUUUCUCUCAAUACAGAAUUUAGAAUUCCAAAAAGAAAGAAUCAAACUCAAACAGAAGAAUUGGCCAUACGUGCAAGUUCAAUUACUGGUUUUGGCAAAUUGGCUAAUGCGAGUUAGAAAUGUGUUGGGCAUGGAUCCGGGUCAUAUUCCUUACCUUAGAUACUCGGUACUCUACUCGGGUCGGGGCGCAAGAAUCAAUUGAAUUCCCAGUGGCUUGAUUCUUUCUUGCUCUAUUGACUCUUUCUCUAUUCAAGACCAAACUAGAUUCCUCUUGCCUGGCAACCUCUAGUUACCCGACAUCUAUUCAAUACUCCACUAUAUUCCUCUCGCCUCGCUGGACUUGCUCAUAACUCCAGAGCAGUAUACCGAUCCCUUAGCAAGGCCUGUCUGUCCCUUGUCUAAUUCUUUGACUUGUUCCUUCUACUCCUAGGGAUUAGCUUCCAACUGGCACUGCUAACUUUCAUUCUCAUAGCCCUGUUUGAUAGGCAUAAAAUGAACCAUAAGCUAUAUUAGGUGUAUGACAUGAUCUAUUUCCUAUCAAUCUCACUAUCGGAUGUUCUAGUGUAGUGCAUUUGAAACCAAUAUCUUUA